This 60291-nucleotide long non-coding RNA is filed under the name Mytilus galloprovincialis (Mediterranean mussel). The record is from RNAcentral. Lineage: Eukaryota; Metazoa; Mollusca; Bivalvia; Mytilida; Mytilidae.
GUGGUAGAAUGACACGGUUAUAUUCCACGAUUGGUGACAAGUAUUUAUUGGAAUCCAGAUUACGGAGCAGGAUAGGCAGGGACUAUAUUGUGUAUUAUUCUUGUUGAAGACAGUGGAUACAUCAAACUGUAAGAUUUACUUAGAUAUUUUGUCUUCUGCAUGUGACAGUUUAUCAGUUAUAUAUACAUGUCUGUAAUCGAGUUUUAACAGGUUUUCCAGGAAAUUGAAAUUAUUGCACAUGUUGUAAAGGGGGGUCACUAUGGGGUUGAAAUGACACACAGGAGAGAAACUAUUUUUGUGUAAUUUAUGUUUUUUUCUGUUAUGGACAACAGCUAGAUUUCAUGAUUUCUUUUUAAAAGUCCUACAUUUGUCCUUUAUGUAUAAACGGUUUAAAAUGAUAAUGGUUUGAAUUUGUUGGCAGUGACUGACCAUCUCGUAGGUUUUCAUGGAAAAGUGGUAUUUAAUUUGGUAUUUAUCUUACUUUUUGGCUUUUGCUGUUGUUGUAGGUCAUCAAGGAAUCUAUUUACAUUGACUGAGGAAAAUAUUUCUACUAGAUAAGAGGAGGGUAGAAUUUUGUUUUGUUAAUUUUAUUUGUAGAUACUCAGCAGUCCAGGCAAUUAUUGUUAUUCGUAAUAUUCCUCAAACUUGUAAUAUUACGACAAAUAGUAACAUUACAGCUUUGUGUAAUAUAAGGCCUAUAUUACAAAAAAUCGUAAUAAUUAAUAUUACGAAUAUCUGUAAUAUAGUUUUUCUAUAUUACGAAUAUUUGUAAUAUACGAUUAAACGGAUGUUUCGUAAAAUUCGACGUGUCUUACCAUGACACCAAGUAGUCUUUCUGAAAGAUAUACAUACGGUUAUCAUAUUUACAUCUGCAGAAAAUUUAGUUUUAAAGUCGAAUUUAAUUUUUUUACAAAAUUAAUGAUUUUCCUACGAAAUUUCUAACUAAGAACUGAAUUUUUGACAAACUGCUCAUUCCCACAAUCUUUAAACUAAUUUCCUGUUAAAGAAUUACAUUUUCUCUUAACAGAAACGUUUUAUGUGUUGUGCUUUUAAUGCUAGUAUUACGUCGAAAAAUCUUUAAAGAAACAUGUGUAUCGAUUCCAAACCACAUUUCAAUGGAGAUAACUCUUGGUCGCUUAGAAGUGGCUGAAAAGUAUAAAUCGUUGUCUCCCUUAAAAUUGAUCUAAUGCACUUGAAAUUCCAAUGUUUGUUUAACUUAGUAGCUGAAAACUGAUAAACCAAAUUGAUUUCAAGUCAUUUUUGGAAUAUUAAAAUAAUAUAGCAUAUCACAGAAAAUGAAAAUAGAUGUGCAUGACAUCUGGCACACACGACGAAGGGAAUCAUGUCCUAUGUAAAAAUAUAAUCCGGAGAAAUUUUUAAUUUUCCGCAAUAAAUGAUGUUCGGCACCGACCUUUUUUUUUUUUAUUAGGGUGGGGUAUUUUAUUUUUAAAGAAUUGUUAAAAAAAAAUGAAAAUUUUGAAAAUAUCAUAAUUUGUUUCAGAACGGAAAUAAGAAAAAAAUGUUUUUUUUAUAUUUAAAAAAAAAACUUCGAUGAGAGUCUUGAGUAGGAUCUUCAUAUCUGUAUUCUAGAAUUUGUGUCUAUUAUUCUCGACCGUUGGUUGCCGGAACGUCUGUUGAUGCUUGCAUUUUCCCACUGAUAGACCGCGACUUAAAUUUUAUUCUUUUUAACACUCGAUCGAUUUUUGAAAAAAAUAAAAAGUUUUUGUCCUAUUAGAUUUUCUUAAAAUUUUGUUCAUUCUCCUAUUUUCGAUAAACCCGUUCUGAUCCUAAUUAAUUUAGAUAAGUUUUGUGCCUGCAUAUGUUCGUCACAAGACCCCAUCAUAAAGAAAAAAACAAAACAAAACAGACAAAUAAAAAAUAAAUAAAAACACACACACCGAAAUGAACGGAAGUUGUCCGGGUCAAACCAAACAAAUAUUUUAGACACAAUCUACAGGCAUGCAGGUGUAAUAAAUGAUAUUUGCAUUUUGAUAAUUUUGAUAAGAGGUUCUUACUUCCUACAAAGUUACCUAUGUCAAACAAUAUUUAUUUGUGAUUACAGUAAAUAUGAACAAUCGUUUUAGUUCAAAAUCCCACAAAUCGAUUGUUUCAUCGAUCCGUCCUAUUUAAUUGUUGUUUUUACCACUGCGAAUUUUGUUCACACAUAAAUUAUACACAGUAUUUUUUUUUUAAUAAAAUAUGUUAUAUCAAAAGUAUGAUUUAGAUACUUAUAACGUCAGUAAAUCAUGCAAUGAUUCCAUCAGUCUUUUAAAGUGUGUAUUUGAUAUAGAAUUAAUACCGUAAAAUAUCUAAGGAAAUAAUGGCAGUACUGGAAUAUAGUGUGUUACACGGUUGAAAGGGUGAAAACAGGUUUUGGGACUAGGUAUCAUCCACUUUUUGGCAAAAGAAAAUUAAUGACAAAUAAAAGAGGACAUUGACAAAACAAUAGACUAUUAUAAUUAUAGAAUCUAUAUUUUAGAUUAUAGAAGACUUUUUAAUUUUUUGUUUGAUUUCCGGCAAAGACAAAGCUUUGAUCCCUCACCUUCAUUCUAUUCUUACGUAUGCUUCAUAUAUCUCGUCUUUAUAGAAUGAAGAUUCACCUUGAACAUGUUUCUUUAUUAUAUAUGUUUUUCGUUACAAAUCAUGAUGUAUUGUUCUAUGUGUACAUGUUAUGCUGCCCAUCAAGGGCCCUUGAUUGGAAUAAUAAAAUUCUUAUAGUCUCGUAACUUGAAUUUGUCCUUUUGUUUAUAAGCGGUGCUACCCAAAAGAAAAUUGGAGAUGCUUUUCUGGGAAAUUGUUUUUGAAAAGAUUGAAGACGUUGUAAUUUUUCUUUUAACCUGGUCAGCACUCGUUAACCCAGCUGUCAUUCUGUAUUACUAAGUAUUUCAUUAAGGUUUGGAUAAAAACUGUCAUAAAACAUUUAAGACACAACAAAAUAAGUAUUUUAUUUUAAUAGAAUAAUUGUUUUCUAUUACAAAAUACAGAACAAAAAAUAUUGAUUUGACGACUUCAAUUAGCUUAUAUAUAAGUGUUUCUAUUAUUUAAUGAAUGUUUUUACAUAUUGUGUGUCGAGAAUGAUAUAUGAUUUGUUUUGAUUUUUGUUAACAAGACUUGUAAAGUUAAUCCCCUCCCAUAAAAACAACACACAAAAAAUCGAAACAAAAAGAAACAACGGCAUACCGUAAAACCUGACAUGGUAAGAUGAUAGGGUAUGCGGUAUGGUACAAAUUCCUCCAUGGCGUGGUAUGUAUAACGAUGGUGUCGUGGUAUGGCAUGGUCAUAAGGAAUAUACUACAAUACCAUAGUUUAAUAAAAAAUUGUAUAAUAAGAAAGUUUUAGUAAUAAACUAAACUCAUUUCAGAUCUUCAUAAUAUUGAUAGCAGAGAUUGAACUUGAUAAUAACUUGAUGAACUCAUAUUCCCUGUUAAACAAAAUCGAACAUCGGAAUGGUAAUUAACAGUGGCGGAUCAAAAAGGGGGGUCCGGGGGUUGGAACAUCCCCCUUUUUUGUUUGGCCGAUCAAUGCAUUUGAAUGGGGACAAAUAGUUGGAACCCCCUCCCUUCUUGUCCUGGGUUGGGACCCCCUUUUUUGAAUGGCUGGAUCCGCCCCUGAUAAAUGUUGAAUUCGGUAUACUACCGUAUACAUUCAUGAUUCAUAAGCUAAUAAAUGACAUAUUAUGUGCCCUAAAUAAGGUGCACAGAUAACUUUACCAUGUUUACAAAUGCACGGUGGUAUUUGUACCAUAUCAUUUGUGUAUACAUGUUACGAUAGGAUUUGUAAUAUUGACGUUACAAUAUCACAUAUCAUACCACUGUACCAUACCAUACUUUACAAUAUAUAUGCCCCUCAAAAAUGCAUCAGACUGAUUAAUAAAAAGAACUCAAUGACAUCAUCGCAGCUUCAUUUUGUCAUUCUAAAUACAUUUUGACACAUGUUUUGAAUUUGUGACCACCUACUUACUUACAACAACAUAUGAUCAUGUAAUAUGGUUUUUGCAAAACGAUAGAUUUCAAUAAUUUAGUAGGGGCUCUUCAGAUCUCUUCAGCAAAGCAAUUAUAAACCUUAUGUUAUCGAUGCAAGAUAUAAAGUUUCAAAUAAUGACAUCUUGUACAAUUUUUAUAAUACACAUUAAUUAUAUCACUUGAUUCCUUUAGUUUUAGUUUGGUUCGUGUUGCUCAGUCUUUGGUUUUCUAUGUUAUUUUGUUUGGCUGUGUGUCUUUUUUUUUCUUUUUAGCCAUAGGGUGUUACGGUUGUAUGUUUAUUUUCGACUUGUGAGUGUGUCCCUUUGGUGUCCUUCGCCUCUCUUUUAUAACUUAACUCGUGUGUUCUAUGUUUCUUAUUUACAUGUAUAUAACUGUAAUUUAUGUUAAUAUGUUUACUUUUUAACCCUAAAGGUCAAGUUUUACUUUUAUCAAUUAUUGUAAAUUAUUGUGUUUUUUUUUAUUAAUCCAAACUAAAAGAAUUAUUCAGACACUAGACUAGGUACAUGUAUAUCUGUAAUAAAAAUUGUGCUAUACGAGAAGAAUAUUGAUUGAUUGAUUGAUAUUUAACACCACUUUCAACACUAUUGUGCUAUUUUGUGGCGAAACUGGCGAUCAGAUUUUAUUGGUGGAGAAAGCCGGAGUGCCCACCGAAAACCACCGACCUUCUGUAGGAAAACUGACAAUCCUAGUCAAUUAAGAUUCAGUGGAGUCGAGUGUACCUGCUCCGUGCGGGAUUCGAACUCACAACCUCAGUGUUGACUGGCUAGUGAUACAGUAGUUCGACAACUUAGACCACUUGGCAACAAAGCCCCCUACAAGAAAAAUAUUUUUUUUUUUGGGGGGGGGGGGGGGGGGGGGCGCAUCACAAAGUGUUCCAUAAGAAUAAUAUAAAACAAAAAUCGUAAAGGGUUCCGUGAAACCCUGUGUUUCGCCUACGAUUGCUGCUGUCCGAUUAAAAGUGUUAUGUUGACUUAAAAGUGAGUCUAUUUAUCAGUAAAAAAAAACAGAAUCUAAAAAAAAACAAACUUUGUUUUCAGAUACUAUUUCUUGGAGAUUAGCUUAUGGCCAAGUUUCAACAAUCCAUCAAGUAUUACAAACUUAUCAUGUCCAGACUGUCUGUAUAUAGUUAUAUAGUGGGGUUGAUGUUUAGACGAGUUAUAUAUAUAUACAUAUAUAUUAACUACUAAAUUUACUACUUGUUAACUGCAAAACUAAGUCCAUUUAUCAGUAAAUGACGGAAAAUGAAAAUACAUAUUAUCAAAAUUUGUUCUGGAUACUGUUCUUUGGUCAUUAAAAAGCUUCUGUCCACAUUUCAUAAAAUUUCAUGAAAGUUAUUGAAGACUGAAAACCUUAACCUAAGACUGAAUCCGUGUGAAUGUUAAGUUAAAAAAUUUUAGUCCAUUUAUCAGUAAAAUACUGAAAAAAAAAUUGGCUCUUGAUACUGUAUUUUGGUCAAAAACAGCUUCUUUCCUUCUUGAAAUUCUGUGAAGGUUUGGGUAAGUUAUUGAUGACUGAAAAGAUUUAACUUCAGCCGGGCUGAAUUUAAAUGUUAAAUGAGUCCUACUCAAUUUAUCAGUAGAAUACAUAAAUAUUUUCAAAUUUUGCUCUAUUCACUAAAAAAUCUUAAGAGUAAAAAUACUCUUAAGUCAUAACUAUUUCAGUAUAACUUACGACCAAUUUUAAUCUUAAGAUUUUCGGGGAAAAGAGUCGCUGUAUUUUGGUUACAAAUAAGCUUCUGUCAAACUUUUUAUUAAAUUCCAUGAAAGUUUAAUUAACUUUAACCACAGACAGAAACUAAAUAUUGACGCCUCUGACGCCGACGACGAAAUGUAGGAUCGCUAUGUUGCUUUCGCGACAUAAUGUCGCAGGCUCGACAAAAACAAAACUGAAACUAGAGAGUUAGUGAUCACAUCUACCCCGCCCCGUAGGAACAUAGAGAUCAUGUUUAUGUUAAGUAGUCAAAAACAUAUCAUUUACAUUUCAAUCAAUUUCAAAAAGGAUUGUCUAUUUAUAAUAAGGAACCCACAAAAUUAAAAAAAAAAAUCUCAACAAAUAAGUACUGUUACAAUAACUCUGGAAUGGUAAAUUUUAAACAACGAAAACCGAACUAGUCAUUCAGGCCCAAGACCACAAUUAAUGACCCCGAUUAUAGUUCCUUUUAAUUAGAGUGUAUUUUUCCUUAUUUUUUUUUCUUUCCCUUCCUCACUCAUUUCUUGGAUUUUUUUGGUGGAAAUGAAAGAAGAGAGGUGAAAUAAAUUUUUGGAUGUUGUAUUUUAACUUAUUUUGAUUUGGAAUGAAUUUAGGCCAAGUGCAAAAAGGUAAUAUUUACAGUUUUCGGAAAAAGUAAGAACUGAUAGAGGAAUUAAUUAAACCACAACAUUUGGAUUUUUCAAACAAUCAGGCACAACAACUCUGAAAGGGUAAAAUAGAAAACAACGAUUUGUUCACAUUAACGACCGAUUUAAGAAUUGUUAUGAGCUUUUACGAGCAAUAUAUACGGUUUAUUAUCAAUUAUUACAAGUUAUUACGAUGUAUUAAUGUCAAAAUUCCACGAUUUGAUACGAGUUGAACUUGUCACGAAUAAAUAAGAGCAGCUUAGUUCAUUAGCUUACGGGCAUGUUUUGAUCAUGUAUGGAUUGUAACGUAUGAUAUAACGAAAUUUUGCUAUUCAUCAAAGCUUUUACGUGUUAGUUACGACCUGUCAAUGUGUUGUAAGAAUAGUAACGAGAUAGUGUUACGAGUAUUUACGAGCCCAUACGAUUUUGUAGCUUGUAUACUAAUACCUUACCCAAAAUCGUAAACAGUACGCGAGAAUACGCAAAGAGAACGUAUCUAUUAGUAGUAUCAACUACGCAUAAAGUUGCUCGUGAUAACUCGUAGCAAUCCUUAAAGCCGUCGUAACAUGAACCGAAAGAAAUCGUAACCAACACGUAAGCACUCGUAAUAAUCCAUCAAUAAUUCGUAAACAAAUCGUUAAAAAACAAGAAUGUGUCCAUAGUACACGGAUGCCCCACUCCCACUAUCAUUUUCCAUGUUCAGUGGACCGUGAAAUGGGGAUCAAAUUUCUAAUUUGGCAUUUAAAUUAGAAACAUCAUAUCAUAGGGAACACGUGUACUUAGUUUCAAGUUGAUUGGACUUCAACUUAAUCAAACACUACCUUGACCAAAAACUUUAACCUGAACUUCGCACUAUCAUUUUCUAUGUUCAGUGGACCGUGAAACUGGGGUCAAAAAUUUAAUUUGGCAUUAAAAUUAGAAAGAUCAGAUCAUGGGGAACAUGUGUACUAAGUUUAAAGUUGAUUGGACUUCAACUUUAUCAAAAACUAUCUUGACCAAAAACUUUAACCUGAACUUCGCACUAUCAUUUUCUAUGUUCAAUGGACCGUGAAUUUGGGGUCAAAACUUUAAUUUGGCAUUAAAAUUAGAAAGAUCAGAUCAUGGGGAACAUGUGUACUAAGUUUAAAGUUGAUUGGACUUCAACUUUAGCAAAAAUCUGACCAAAAAACUUUAACCUGAAUCCUUGCGAAUGGACGCACAGACGGACAGAUGAACAGACCAGAAAACAUAAUGCCCCUCUACUAUCGUAGGUGGGGCAUAAAAAUUUACGAGUCAUAAACGGAUUUGUGCAAGCAGUUAGCGAAUUGUUACGUUCUGUUGCGAGCGGUUAACAUACGAUACCUACUGAAGGUUAAAUACCGAAAAAUCGAUCCAUGGACAAUCGUUAAAAAGAUUUUUGACAUGAAUAAAAAGUUCCUCUCCUUUCAUGAUCCUUAUGAGUCUCUGCAUGUUGUUCUGAGUUCUAACCAGUUAUUUACGGGUACCAGCGAGUCAUUCACGGAUGCUUACAAUUGACAACCAGCAAAGCGUAAGGACUCGUAAGAAACAUCCGUAUAUGUGAAAGGGGGGGGGGGCCAUUUAAAAGUUUUCGACGCUUCUCAAGCACGACGGAUGUCAAUGGACAACCAAAACACAUUUGGAUAUGUUUGUCUAGAUGAGCUAAAUAUAAGAAUGACAUAUUGAGAUGCAAUUAUUACAUGUACAUUACCAGUCAAACAGUUUCUUCACUUGGAAAAAAUAAGCAAGUAUCUCCAAAAAAUAACAAGAUCAAUGUGUUAACCAAGCAUAUUAACUAAGGUUAUACAUUACUCUAAAGCAAGGAGCAUUUUUGUUUGAUAAAUAUUGCGGUACCAUAUAUAUCUAGGAGCUUUUAUCAUGGAAAAGUCAUAUCUUUUAAUUUACUUUGACUUACACAAAUAUUUGAUGAAAUACAGAUUUUAUAUACACGCGCUAAAACGUAUUUGCAUUUGCGAUCAGGAAAUGUCUAUGACAGGUUCGAUAGUAUUAUGUGACCACGACGAGCACGCGUACCACAUUCAGAUCAUUAUGUAAAAAAAAAAAUGUACAAAUACACCACAGAAGUCUACAAAAGCCACGGAAAGAGAGAAAUAGGUGUUGCUUUUCUGGCGGCGUUGGCAGCGACAGCAUAGGAUGAGUCAACAAUUAUUUAGUUUUCGGCGUUAAUCAGUUUGAUAGGAACUACUUGAUCAAUGAUAUAUUUUUACAAAGUUGCAUUAGUAUCAGAUCAUGUCAGCUACUUCGAGACCCUGUCCCCUAGGUUAAGGUCAGGCGAAUUUUAAUUAGCAAGCAAUUUUCAAUAUUUAAGUUGCCUCUGCUUAAAUGAGUUUGAUCGGAACGACUUGUGAUAGAUCACUGACAUUUUCUAUAAAGUGGCAAUACUAAAUUAAAGUCUAUUUUGUGACCCUGCACCUAUGUCAGGGUGCAGUGGUUUUGAAUUGGAAAGCAAUCGUUUCAAUGUUAGCUUCUUUUCUGCUUAAGGAUGUACUUAGGUGAGGUUUUGGAAUUUGUGUCAAAUGUUCGGACUCCUUGGUGUUUUUCCAUACAAUACAAUGUAAAAUAUUUUGCCCCAUAACCCAUUUAUUUUUUCAUAUAAGACUUAAUAGCUCAUGAAAGGUCAUUUACCAAAAUUUUAGAAGAUUCUUGAUUUUCUUUCUUUUGUUUUGAGACCCAAAUAAUACCAAUGCAAAUAUAAGGUAAAAGUCCGAGUCAGCCUUUUCCCGCCAUAUUUUAAUUCUCAAAUAUCUCGAAAAGGAAGUCCAUGACCUAUCAAUAUUUUUAGCUCAUCUUUAUCCUUAAUUGAUGCUCUACCAGCUUAUAGUAUCAAUUUUAAUUUCUUAAUUUCUUAAUUUUUACCUAACCUCACCUAAGUAUAUCCUUAAGUCAAUCCUAUAUAUAUGAACUACUUGUGAUAGAUGAAUAACAUUUUCAAUAGAGUUGUAUUACUAUCAGUAUACAUACCAGUUUGACGACUAUUUCGAGGCACUGUCCCCUAGGUCAUUGUCAAGCGACUUUGAAUUGAUUUGAUUCUAAGUUUCUGCAAAUUGGUGAAAGAUUUCUUUGUGUAAAAAGUGUUUUUGACUAUGAAGAUUAAAAGUCUCAGGCUAAAGCUGGAAAGUCGAACGCUGAGGAAUUAAAGUUUGACGCUGAAAUUUAAUUCCUCAGCGCUAAAAUUUAAAGUUUACCGCUGGGGCUGUAUAGUCUUGCUCUGAAGAUGUUGGGAUCAGCGCUGAAGAAUUUAAGUCUACAAUGUAGCUCUGACGAUCUUGAGAUCAAAACUGACGAUUUAAUGUCCAGCGCUGAUGAUGUUAAAUCUAGCGCUGAAGAUAUAACUUACAGCGCUGAAGCUGUAAACUCAAGCGCUGCAAAUAUAAAGUUGAUCGCUGUAGAUAUAUUUAAAAUUUAGCAAUAGAUAUGGAAAGACUGGCGCUACAGAUGUAAAAUGCGCGCUGAAGAUAACCCAAGCGCUGCAAAUGUAAAGUAUAUUACUGUAGAUUUAAAAGUCUAGAGCUCGAAAUAGUGGUAUGGUGCUCUAAAUGAAACGCAGUGGCGGAUCCAGGGGGGAGGCGGGAGUUAAACCCUCUUUUUUUGGACGAUCAUUGUGUUUGAAUGGGGACGUAUGGUUGGACCCCCCUUUUAUCCUGGGUUGAUACCCCCACCCCCUCCCCCACCCCUUAGAAAAUUGCUGGAUCCGCCCCUUUAACGUCUAGCGCUAGGUUAUUAACUUUAUUUUUUUUAAACUGCAAUGUAUAUUUUAGUAAUUAUAUAAAAUCCACAGUCCGAGUUUAUUCCGUGUUCACUCAGGCAACAAUCAUUUGAUUUUCUGGGGGGGCUAUGGUUUUUUUUUCUGGACAAAUUUUUUUCACAAGUCGAAAACAAUUUUUUUCUUCAAUUUUAGCAUAACAUAUAGUGGCAGCUGAGGGUGAAACAAACAAUUUUUUUUUCUCAGAAUCAAAAACAAAUUAUUUUUUUCUCCAAAAACUGGAAAAAAACUUUUUUUUAAAAAAAAAAAAAAAUGCUGUUUCAUCGAUGUACAACCCACACCUUCUUUUAUUUAGAUCUGAUUUAUGAACCAAAUUGAAAGAAGUAUUUUUAACAUUCUAAGUCCUGUGUAUGAGAGGUCACCUUAAACAAAUAAGUUAAUAAUUAAAGAAAUAAAAAUGCAAUUGUUAAAAUAAUAUAAUUGUGAGAUCAAGAGAUUUAGUUGUAUAGUUCGUGUUUUUGGGUGGCAUUUCCCAGUACAAAAUCUUGUGUAAAAACCCAUAUAUUUUACACCAAAACGAAAUUGUUCACGUAUACAAACACCUUGUUUUAUUUUUAGACUAAGCGGGAAAUAUAACUGCUUUACCCAACUAACAUGAUUAUUAAGAUGGUGUCGAAAAUCGUUCAUUGAUUAGGGCGAAAAAAGCGGGAAAUAUAACUGUAACUGUAAGCUAUACAUAAUGCUGAUUAUGCAUUUCUCACGGAUAUUUGAUACAGGGAAGGUCGUUGUUUUAUCAUCACUCCUACAUUCCAUUCUCUAGUUUCCGCCGUAAUUUAUAAUUAAUCUGACAGUGCUCGACAUCAUUUUUAAGUCACUGCUACACCGAUAAAGGAGUUUGUUGCAUUUUAGAUAUGACAUAUAAAAAAAAUAUUUUGUCAAUAUAAUAUUUUAUAUCGUUACUAACCAUCUUUUCAUUUUAUAAAGGAACCAUGACGUUUCUAAAAAAAUUUAAAAAAAAUUCUGAGGUGAAUUGAAAAAAAAUAUAAAUUGUUUCUACCAGAAACAAGAACAUUGAUUUAAAAAAGUUUGUUCCUGUGUGUUUUAAAUAGAAAAAAAAGGUUUUUCCUUUAAGUUGGAAAAUAAUGUUUUUCCCAUGCAAGUAUAAUCAUACCCCCUUAAACAGAUGAAUUGUCGGGCCAAAAUUUUAUUUAGCUUUCAUUUAGUAAAAGAUAAUUUUUAAUCAUGCCUAAUGAAAACGUGAUUCCGCUUUUAGACACGGAGAAGAUUAGCCCUUAAAUAUGAUUCCGUACUACAAUCAGUAUCUGCUAAGGAAGCUAAUUAGCGCCACACAUUUUGUUUUUUAAUUUCUUCCUAGGUUUGCGUUUUCAAUUCUUUAUUCAGUUUUGUAUAUGUUAUAAUCAGAAACUAUAUUGGAUUUACAUUUACAUCCAUGCUAUAAUUUUAAAUGUUAUAAAUUUAACAAGAAAAUAGAUAUGGUAUAGGCAAAUUCUAAUUGAAAGGUCAAGAUUUUGAAAAUUUUGAUUAACAAAAAGGGCGCGGGUAUAGUAGAUUAGAGCAAAAAUAAUGGCAUACAAUUGUGAAACUAUAAGUCAAAUAGAAACAUAUAGAUUCCUACACUGCAAACAAGUGUAUAACGAUAUUUCUCCACUCGAGAAAGUUGAAUUUUAUCAUUUAAAGCGCGAGGCUUGCCGAGCUUUUCAAAUAAUUAAAAUUUUAACUGUCGAGAGUGGAGAAAUAUCGUAAAACACAAGUUACAGUGUCGGAAUCUGUUUCUUUGAUGACUUUUAUCCUUUUUUUUUAAAAGAUUUUCAGAAACUAGUGUUCUUUAUAUGCGACGUCAUCAGGCAUAUGGUCGCCUUUUUCAUGACGUCACAAUAGAAAAUUCAGAAGAAAACAAAACAUUUUGACGUCAUAAUCAAAUUUCGAUUAAUCAAUUGCCGAGAACAGAUUUUUCACUAGUGAGGAGAAAUAUUUUUCUCUCACCGGUCAGGAAAUGUGAAAAUAGCACAAGAAUUAGAGAAAAUGAUCUUUUUGCUUUAAAAUAAAUUAUUAAGAAUAAACAUUUUUUUUAAAUUUUGAUGUAAGAAAUCGUUUGUUAAAAUUUCAGAAUACGACAGAUUCUUUGUUAUUUCGAAAAUGUGUGCGUCAUUCCGCAAAAGUUUGCGUUAUAACGCAAAGGUCUGCGUUAUAUCUCAAAUGUUUGCGUUAUUUCGCAAGGGUUUGCCGUUUAGCGCAAAGUUUGCGUUAAAACGCAAACAUACAUAAACAUGGUAAAGGAAGAAAUAUAAAAAAAAUUAUGUGGCGGUAAUAGGCUUCUGUAGUCUUCCGCCUAUACAUUAUAUCUUUAUUAUAGGGAAAUUUCUCAACUGGACAUUCAGUUUGAAUUUUUUCCACUCCCAAAUUUUUUUAUUACCUUUUAGAAUAAAUAAAUGUAGGUUGUGCGCUUAUCUCAGGGUUUAGGACACAGAUCCAGAGUAACCAACAGUUAUAAAUAAUAUAACGCUACAUAAUAUNNNNNNNNNNNNNNNNNNNNNNNNNNNNNNNNNNNNNNNNNNNNNNNNNNNNNNNNNNNNNNNNNNNNNNNNNNNNNNNNNNNNNNNNNNNNNNNNNNNNNNNNNNNNNNNNNNNNNNNNNNNNNNNNNNNNNNNNNNNNNNNNNNNNNNNNNNNNNNNNNNNNNNNNNNNNNNNNNNNNNNNNNNNNNNNNNNNNNNNNNNNNNNNNNNNNNNNNNNNNNNNNNNNNNNNNNNNNNNNNNNNNNNNNNNNNNNNNNNNNNNNNNNNNNNNNNNNNNNNNNNNNNNNNNNNNNNNNNNNNNNNNNNNNNNNNNNNNNNNNNNNNNNNNNNNNNNNNNNNNNNNNNNNNNNNNNNNNNNNNNNNNNNNNNNNNNNNNNNNNNNNNNNNNNNNNNNNNNNNNNNNNNNNNNNNNNNNNNNNNNNNNNNNNNNNNNNNNNNNNNNNNNNNNNNNNNNNNNNNNNNNNNNNNNNNNNNNNNNNNNNNNNNNNNNNNNNNNNNNNNNNNNNNNNNNNNNNNNNNNNNNNNNNNNNNNNNNNNNNNNNNNNNNNNNNNNNNNNNNNNNNNNNNNNNNNNNNNNNNNNNNNNNNNNNNNNNNNNNNNNNNNNNNNNNNNNNNNNNNNNNNNNNNNNNNNNNNNNNNNNNNNNNNNNNNNNNNNNNNNNNNNNNNNNNNNNNNNNNNNNNNNNNNNNNNNNNNNNNNNNNNNNNNNNNNNNNNNNNNNNNNNNNNNNNNNNNNNNNNNNNNNNNNNNNNNNNNNNNNNNNNNNNNNNNNNNNNNNNNNNNNNNNNNNNNNNNNNNNNNNNNNNNNNNNNNNNNNNNNNNNNNNNNNNNNNNNNNNNNNNNNNNNNNNNNNNNNNNNNNNNNNNNNNNNNNNNNNNNNNNNNNNNNNNNNNNNNNNNNNNNNNNNNNNNNNNNNNNNNNNNNNNNNNNNNNNNNNNNNNNNNNNNNNNNNNNNNNNNNNNNNNNNNNNNNNNNNNNNNNNNNNNNNNNNNNNNNNNNNNAAACUAAUGCAUCAUUGAAGUCCCAUUGGUGGCCUGAGUUGGCUGUUUGAUUUGUGGAAACUAAUGCAUCAUUGAAGUCCCAUCGGUGGCCUGAGUUGGCUGUUUGAUUUGUGGAAACUAAUGCAUCAUUGAAGUCCCAUUGGUGGCUUGAGUUGGCUGUUUGAUUUGUGGAAACUAAUGCAUCAUUGAAGUCACAUUGGUGGCCUGAGUUGGCUGUUAUCUGCUCUUUGGUUGGGUUGUUGUCCCUUUGACAUAUUCCCCAUUUCCAUUCUCAAUUAUAAUAUCAUGUUAUGAAGGCCCAUAAAGAAUGGAAUAUUUGUAAGAAACCAACUAUACCCUGACUCAUUAUUGUAUGUUUUGCAAGUGAUAAAACUCAAUACAUCUAUAGUUGAACAAAGGGCUAGUUCAGAGGUAAGUCUGAUUUCUGAUACAAACAUGCAUGACAUGGUAACUGCUGGGUUUUCUGAAGUCCAACACAAGCUUAUAGUAUAGUGAGGUUGCAUGGGUAAGGCAUGACCAUGUUGGUUUAUUAAUUGUGGAUAAAACUUGUCCUACAGUUUUCAACCCAAAUCCCUGAAACAAUCUAUUGGGGAAGAUUGCCCACAUGUUGAAGUUGUGCACCUGCUUUUAAAAGAUUGUUCUCAUUUUUCCUGACUUGGGAUCUAAUGGUAUUUUUCAAAUAUAUAAAUGUUCAGUAUAGAGUUUUCUCCAUUGUGUUAGAAACAUUCUGUGUAACCCAGAUGUUUUAGUCUUUGAUCUAUAUCUAUUAGAGAAAGCAUGAAAGACAAAUUGAUAUAUCAUGUAAAUUGAUACUUUUAAAAAGAUGAUAAUUUGAUUACAGCAGGUAGAUUUUUAAAAAGAAGAUUAAUGGAGAAAUAAUCUAACCUGCUGAUAGAUGAUUAAUCUAAUUAAGAAACACAUGUGUGCAUAAUUACUUAAGCAGUUGGCAAGAACCUCUAUAAUCAGGCUAAUUAGUAUAACCUUUCAAAUUCUUCUCACUUCCUCCAUGCUUCUCUUGUUUCUUUUGUUCACCUCAAUUUUACCAUUGUUACUGUUUCUCACUUAAUCCAUGAUAUUGUGACAAAACUUUAAGGAAAAGAUAAUAGGUGCUCUUGUACUGCACCUAACAUUAUAUCUUAGAAUGAACUUGAAUUUGCCUUUGGGUGCAGGGUUUUCUUGCUGUGUUGAAGACCCAUAGGUUGUCUUUGGCUGUUGAUAUUUUACUCUAAGGUCAGAUUGUUGUCUGUUUGAAACGUACCCCAUUUCAUAUCUCUAUUUUAUUUUUAUUCUUAGGCUUUAAGACAUGAAUAUAAUGGUAAUACAUAUGUAUAUACAAAUAGGAAUGAAGGAAUAUCUAAAAUGUGAUGGCACUACUGACAGCACCCACAGUCAACUCUUGACGACUGUACAAUAUGUUACAAUCAAUUUAGACAGUCUACAAAGAAUUGUACAUGGUCCAGAUAGCCAGACAAAGGUUGAGGUUUCAUCUCUAGCCAGGAUCUUUAGGAUUCAUCCUCUCCACAGGAGGGGACUAGAUUGUAACCCUUGGCAAAUGAAGAUGAAGUUUAGGUCACCCAGGUCACUAUAAACAGGUUUAUGAGUGGACAUAUAUAAAUAGAUCCAUCCUUCCAUUAUCAUAGUUCUACACUGGCUGUCAUUAGCACACAAUGUAAAACUAGGACAGACAAAUGAAUUAGCCAAAAAAUGAAGUUGGUUGUUGCUCAUUUUCUUUGAAAAGUUCUCAUAAUCAAUUGUGACUUAAUUUGUGAAUUAACGUUUAUGAAUGGUUUUCUCUGUUCCUUAUACAUAAAUGGCCAUUAGGACCAUAACAUAAAACCUAAAUGAGCAGUUUAGGAAAUACAUCUUUACUGAAGCUCAAGUAUACACUUAAAGCAGGUCAUAAAAGCCUUUCUUUAGUAUACUGUUAACCCCAUUGAGCUCAAUAAGUAAAAACUUAAUAAAGAACUGCAAUAAACAGGACAUUGUACUAUAUAAUCAUGUAUACAGUGAAAUCAAUACAUUUUCAGACACAAUCCAUCUUACUUCUGACAUAAUUCCUAGUAUUUUAUUUACAUGAAAUAAAUUGGGAUAUUAAAGUUUGUAGAAUUUUAGACUGAGUUUCCGUCUUUUAAGACAUGCAAACCUGGUAUUAAGUAAUAAUAUCAGACAUUUGACUACAUUUGUUAGUGCCAAAUUUGGUUAUCAGGAAUAUGUUUUAUUGGUUUAUUUGUGUAAAGAAAUUUUAGACAAGUAUGCAGCAACUGACAAUGGCAAUGUUAACUGUCAGGGAUAAAUUAUAUAUGAUUUCCCAUAUCUAGUUAUAUAGAGGGUAUUGGGGCUAUCAUAACAGUUUAAACAUAACCAUAUUGUCUCCCAUCUGAAUAGUUCAUUGUUUAUAUCUACCCAACAUUGAUUUUAGAUGCUUUGUAUAAUUUCCAGCUUUGAUCAGACUUAUAUGGAAGUUGUCAUAUCCUUUAAGCGGCACUUUCAUCGGCACUUUCAUUGAUAACAUUUCCCAUCAGUAUGCAUAGAAGUAGUAACAUUGAGUGAUUAUUGUGGUUGUGAUGACUGUGGUCAUUAAAACCACUCAAAUAUCUCUUGGCUAUUGAUUUGGUUUUGAUUUUAUUUGGAUACUGUUAUAUUUAUUCUUUUUAAACUUUUAUCCUAACACAGUUUAUAAAUAAGCAUUCUGUAUCAUAUUGAACCAGUGGGAUCUAGUAGAUACUUUUAAUUGAUCAGACAAUCGUGACAAUUACAUUAUAGUUUUAACAGAUCUAGAGAACUAUCGUUUUUCUCUCAGUUUGUGACGGCAGAUACAUUAAAAUCUAUAAGUUUUAAUUUACUUGGACAAAAAUUAAAUGAAAUUUAAAACUUUUUGAACAAAUGAUUCUUUUAUUUGCACUGCUAUAUAUAUAUGUUAGAAUGCUGUGUAUUUACAACAAAAUUUAUUCACCAAUCAUUAAAUCAUUCUGAGAGUACACAGAGAAUACACAUUAUUUGUAUAUAUACAUGAUAUAUCUGUAUACAAUGAAACAUGCAUGUGAAUGCAAUAAUUAGUAUAGGAUGUAUAUUUAAAAGAGACAUCAAUCUCAUAGCUGUAAUUUCCUGAAAAUAUUUUUAAGGUAAGGACUCACUCACUGUUACAAUUUUGAUUUUGGGCCUGGGGUUGGGGCAGGAGAUUUGUCUGUGGAUAGAAUAUUCAUUGCCAUCUCUAGCUUCAGUUAUAUGAGGGUAAUCUAAUUGCCUUACAAAAAUUUAUUUCAUUUUUUUACAUAAUUAUAUGUACCUAAUUAAUUGUGCUGAUGGUUGUUUGACAGAAUUUUCAUCUGGUCUUUGGUUAUUCAAGGCUUGUUGGUACAAAAGACGGGAAACAUGAACAAUGUACAAGUAAUCAAUCAUAACAAUUGUAUCCCUGAUGAGUUUUUACUUCUUAUAGAAUCAAAUAGAUAUUUUGUAGGCUAGCCGGACAAAUAGUCAAAAAUGUCUAUUCAUCCGGCAAGCCGGACAAAUAGCAUGUUUACGGUUUUUCGCUAUUUGUCCGGCCAAAUAUGUAAUGAUGAAGAUAUAACAUCGUGUUUUAAAGGUUUUGAAUGAAGCACGGGUUGUUUUAAAAUAUGUUGUCUAACCUCGUUUUAUGAAAAAAAAACUCAUUCUAAUAAAAAAAUAAACUAUACAUUUGAUUCAGAUUUUUUUUUAUUCUAAUAUUCUAAAGGAGCUUGGGUAUUGAAUUUCCUGUAAGGUAAAUAGUCAGGCCAAUCAUUAUUGCCUUCAGCUAAGAUUUCAAAAGAUCCUGAAUUUAUAGUUUCAGUGAAGUUUGGUUAAAGUAAGGUCCUCAUAUGAUUAUGCACGAUUCUUCAUUUAAAUUGUUCGGGAUUUUAAUUCAUAUGAAAUUUGAGAAGGGCAGGCACGUGUAACCUGUCCUCAAAAGUAGGAUUGUGUUUUCGAUAAGAUUUUUUUAGGAAAAAAAUAUAUAUUAGAUACAACAGAAAAAGGGGGAUACCCAAACUCUGGUGUCUUAUUCCCAGUCCGGGCAUAUCAGUAUGUUCAUAGAUCUGCGUUGUAGUAUAACUAAAAAAUAAUGCAUCCAAGGAAGUUUGAUCUAGUAUUUUUUUCCGGAUGCGUUUUGCCUCCAUAAGGUAAAUGGGGGUAAAUCUUCAAUUUCACCUUAAUUUCAGGAUUAUCAUCCUCACAGUUUAAAUAACAUGUAUACGCGAUUGCUCUGGAAUCACUCCUAUAUACAUUUGUUUAAAACAAUCACAUUCUCUCUGGUUUUCUCUAUGACAUCUUUAAAUAUGAAUCACGGUCUCCAAUUCUCAACACGUCCAUUGCAUACGCGCGUGUGUUAUCUGACACCGCGUGUGUUAUCCGACACCUCAUCCGGGACACUUUCCACGUCACAUGACACUUUUAUUGAUAUUGAAUAUUUGCGCAUCCGCAGACGGAUGGCCGGACGAAUAGAGAUUUUUAACUAUUCGUCCGGCUAGCCGGACGAAUAGACACUCCGUAUUUUGUAGAUAUCAAUAAAAAUUGUAAAAGUCUGAAUACAGUUAUGAUUGCUGUUAGCUUGGUUAAGUGGCUGAUUAACCAAUAGCCUUCUACAGUCCUACAAAUACAUUAUAUCUAUCAUUAUAGGUAUUCAUUACCAUCAUAUAGGGUCGGAGAAACUUCUAUAGAUUAAUAAGUAUGUAGCUUUUAUAUAACACUUAAUAUUUGAUACUAUAUAAAGGUAUUUUAAUUUGUAUGGAUUUAAGUAAUAUACGGAUAACUAUAUUCAUUAAUGUUCAGACCUUUUAUUUAUAUAUAUUUUCAUAAUAUUUAUUCUUUACGGUAGUGACUAUGAUCCGUAAAACACUGUAAAGAAAUGUCUACACUUAUUACAAAUGAACUAAUGUGACAGAUUGCACAUUUUGAUUUCAAUUAUGGCGAUUGGUAAUGUCAAUUGUUUGAAUAGGGAAUUUAUAUAAUGCAUUGGAAUAAACUAUUCUGUUUUCCUAGUAAGUACAAUGUAUAUUAAAAAAACUUUGUGGUAAGUUAUAAUUAAAGACAAAACGAAUUAUUUCAAGAUUGUAAAAUGGCAUGAUUCUCUCUAAGAUUUAAGUUUGAGCUGGCUUUCCCUAACAUAAAGAUAAUAAGAUGUGGUAUGAUUGCCAAUAAGACGGCAACUCUCCACAAUAGACCAAAUGACAUAGAGGUAAAAAACUAAAGGUCACUGUAUGGCCUUCAACAAUGAAAAAACCAAAACCGCCAAGUAACAGGCCCCAAAUUACAAAUGUAAAACAUUUAAUCAAACAAGAAACUAACAGCCUAAUUUAUGUACAAAAUAAUGAAGGAAAAACAAAUAUGAUUUACAACAACAAAUGACACACUAUGUAGUAUAUAUAUAGUUUAUUAUUGUUUUGUUUGUGCCUUUGUUUUUGUUAUUGAUAAUUAUACUGUUAUAUCAGCAUUAAGAAUUUGUCCUGUGCAAAUAUUUGUGUUUAUGUUUACCAACUUUGUAACCAACACAAUUGUUCUUAUUAUAAUACUAAGACAUCUAUUUUUAGGAAAUUAUAUGAUUAUUUUUGUCGAAUUGUAUAAUACUAGCAAUAGAUUUUUUGACCCAAUGACUAUUAUAUUACAAAAUUUAUGUUAUGCAACAUUGCAUCCCAAAUUAAUUAUGCGCUUUUUUUCAAACCUGCAUUUUAUGUUGCAUGGCAUGGCAAUCCUAGAUUCCGUGGGAUCAACAUUUAGGUUCAGUCUAUUUACUCUAUUAUGGUUAAAUAUUUUAGAUGUCAACAACUUUGUCAAACCUUCUUUAAAUUUUAUGAAAUUUUGAUGGAAUUUUAGAAGCUAAAUGUAUGUGACAGCAAUACAGUCUCACAAGCAAAAUAGAAUACCCUUUUUUAACUUAAGUUGGUACCUAACACUACAGGGAGAUAACUCUGUAAAAUCAGCUCAACGUUUUAAUUAAGCUGUGUUGUUAAGGGAAUAUUAAGCUUCUCAAUGGUCAAAAUUAGUGUUUGUCAAACUGCUAUAUAACCAGUGUAAUUUUUCUGAUAAAAUGGUUGGUUCAAAUUUUUUGAAUUUUUUAUAUUUUUGUCAAAGGGUCAAAGAAAAUACUUUGUCAAAAUUUUAUGAAAAUUAAACGAGCCUAAUUAAUUUAAGUGAAGGUGUUGGGUACCACCUUAAGGCUCAAAUUAGUAAUUUUCAUUUUAUAAAAUUGUUGACCAAUCACAAAUUGUUUUAAGGAUUCUAAUUCAUUUUUGGUUCACAAUUAUUUAUACUGAUCCAAAAAUGAAUUAGAUUCCUUAAAACGGUUAAUUUUUGUAGGCAUCAAAUAUAUACUAAGAGAGAAUAUUUAGUUAUGCAGACAGCAUAAUAGAAUAAUUAGGUAAUGUGCAUAGUACAUGUAUCAGUACAAAUUAUUACUCAUAGUUAAUUAACUUAAUCAGAUAUAAUUGUGUCUAUCACACUAUAUUAUUAGUAUGUCUGAGGCAGAGCAUCAUUCAGAAAUGUUUCAAAUUUUAUAGACAAUUCAUUGAUGAAACAUAACUAAAUGUACUACAAGCUUUUAGUUUAGUUAUUCAACACAUUACUUAUGUAAGUAUGGACUUCAUGAACCAUAGUUAUAUCUUUCUUUUGACUAAAAUUGCACAUAUUAAAUAAAAAGAGAUAUUUAUAUAAGGGGUAUCCAUCCGGGGAUCCAUAGUAGACACAACAAAUCAGUAUAUAUACACACAGAAAUAAAACUAACAGCAAUUGGGAACUGCACUAAAUGUAUUGCUGUUCUUCACCUCAUAAUCACAUAUUAUGAGGCCUUCAACACAGAACAAAAACUCUCACCUCACUGCAAGUUUAAGAUGACCCCCUUAAAGAGAGGAAGUCUUGACAAAUAACUGUGAAUUAAAGAACAUGAUUAAUGUUAGCCAUGGAAUCAAUAAAACAAUCCUGGCAAAGAAAUAUACAUUUACUGUCAUUAUUUAGCCUGACAAUCAUAUAUAUACAGAAGAUAUUUGGUAUACACGGGUCAAUGUGACAAGCACUCAGACGUGUUUGCUGAAUUUUAGAUGAUAGCUUAUAAAAUUUCAUUAAAAUUGUAUUUAUUAUAAUUAUUACUAUUAUUUGCUAUUUUUUCAAAGAAUUGACAAAUCCUUGAUACCACCUAGAAUACAAACUUGUUCUCAAAAGCUAGAAAAUGCAAUUUUAUAAUUGCAUAUGAUUAUGAAUCUAAGAAUGCUUUAGUACAAUGGCCUUCACGAAAGUUUCAAAUGAUACAACAGCACUUUUAAAUUUUUCUUUUUAUAGUACAUGUAUGUAAUACUGGACAUUUUGUACACCUGUUGAAAGUCUGUUUAAUAAUAAGAUUAACUAAAAAUAGUUAUAUCCUUGGCUAUUUAUAUCAUAGACUUUUUUAUAAAGUUAUUAAAUGUUCAAAAACAGAUUAUAGGGGCAGUGACUGCUAAACCAUAUUGAAUAUUUACCACAAUUUAGAGUUCCAUAAGAAACAAAUAACAUAAUAUGUGAAGUCCUAAUAAGGUAUCAAUAUUAGGUGUAUAUAUUUUAGGUCUUGAUGCCAUCUAUCAACAUGGGUAAUUGUAGCAAUUUUUGUAAUUCAAAAAAGAUAUAUUUUAUGAUCUAUCUAUUUUGAAAAAGGAGAUUUGACCUUUAAGAAGUACCAAUGAUUGCAUGUGGGUUAAUACUACUUUCAUAUAUCACUAAAUAAUGUCGGCUAAAGUUUUGUUUCUCAGUUUACCUUAUUUUAGAUUAAAAAUGUCAAUGAUAAAUAUAUUUUAUUUCAAAGAUUUGUAUUUGAUAAUAAUUGGAUACAUAUUUUUGGAAAUUUAUUUGAAAUAAAAGUUGAGAAUCCUAUUUUAUCUAAGUGUCAUUUACCUUAAAUUCUAACAUGUCUAAUAAAAUUGAAAAAGAGAAACUGAUAUCAAUGUUUUUAAGAAAUAAAACAUUACAAAUUUUCAAUAAAUUUUUAAUAGCUUACGUAUCAGAUACAAAUAAGACAAAAUGUUACGUGUCAGAUUUUUUUUAAUCUGCAUUGUGACAAAAUUAUGAAAAGCUGUGAAACAUAAUCCCUUCAUAUUUUUGUAGUUAAAAGCUUUGUUAUAUUGUGCUAUAGUGCUAUAGAUAUAUUGUUUAUCAUAUUAGAUAAUAUAUUAUAUGGUGUUUGAACUUUUUCUCAAUGUUUUGUUAUACUAUGUUUCUCAUUUAUUGUAUUUGAUGUCAUAAAAUAUUCAUUGAAUUCACCACAAUAAAAUUUAGAUUUACUCCAGGGAUCAUCUGUGUUCAAAUCAACAAUUUUUAAAUUUAUCUUAAAGUUUUUGUGACAUUUACAAGGUGGAGGAGUGGGCAUUCUUGUUUAUAACAGUACAAUGAGAAAUGAUGUAGAUGUUUUACACUAAGUUAUGAAAGGUACCAGGAUUAUAAUUUAGUACGCCAGACUAAGUAAAUUCUUCCUAUUUAAGUGUAUUAAAUCAAAGAAGCUUUAUUACACUAUACAUGUCAAUAUAUAUAUGUCCUUUAGAAAUAUAAGCUAUAACUUAGUACAAGGACAAUUGUUUGAUUGUUCAAUUAUUUAUAAUGCAUUAUAUUCCUUAUUGCAUUGAAUAAACUGAGAAGUCAGCAAAAUAUUUAUAUUGUUUCUCAGUGGAAAGACCUUUUGGUUUCGUUCUGAUCAUUAUUUCUUUUCCUUUUUUUUCUGACACCAAAAAGGAAUGUGAGGUCAUGGUCAUGUUCUUAAUUUGAUCUUGUUUUCACCAUCUUCAGACUUUAUAAUGCUUUAAAUUAUAAAAGACCUUUAUCAUAAUGUUUAAGCUAUAGGUUUUAAAAGUUAUACAGCUUAAUUCCCAAAAAUUUCCGUUUAAAGAAAACACUAUAAGUAUCAAUGAAAUAUGCAAAUUUGAAACAUAAUGAAAGUUUGGUCAGUUUUUAGUACUAUUAUUUUGUACAAUGAAUAGUUGAUGAACAUGUUCUUAAGUCUGGCUUUAUCAUGUUUGUAUAAAUGGAAAUGCUUUCAAGAAUCCAAAGUGUACAAUUAUGAUAAUUAUAUGAAGCUAAAGUAUCCGGAUUAUGGUAUAUUGAUGUUUUAAUUAUAAAAUUAUAUAUUAUUAAAACCUCCAAAUACUUCCAUUACUGUCAGACUUCAAGGCUACAUGAGAUUUCAGUUCCAAGAACUUAAUGUGUGAUGGAGAUGAAAUUAAUUUAAAUCCGUAUAUUACAUGUUUUAAUUUGAAGCAUACACAAACAUGAUGUUAUAAGCCUUCUACUUUUUCUAAUUUUGUUAGUUUGCAUUAAUUGGAUAUGGAUUUUGUUCAAUAGAGUAAUGAAAUAUAAAGCAGAAAAUAUACAUAGCAAUAAUUGCUAGUUACAUAUGGUAUAAUUGCUGAUACAAUUUUGUGUUAAUCUUAUUGAUUUUAUGGAUUGUAAUAGGAGAAACAUAGAGAUAUGGUUAUUUUACUGAUUAUUGCUCACUUCUUUGUCUGAAUUCUGGGUAAUGAUUUUAAAAUGAUGAUUGAUUUGAGAUAUACUUGUUUUAGUGUUAUUUACUAGUGUCAUACAAGGGGAAUUAUUGAACUCAGUCUUUAAAUAAUGGUAAUAUAAUCAACUGUGUUAUAAAGGCAACAGGAGGCCCACUGUGUGUCCUAAAUUAGGAGAUAGGAGUUGGUUUCACAAAAAAAGAAAAGAGAUUAAGAUUGGUCUUAAGUAUACUGUAUUGUUCAUGUCUAUAACUAGGUCAACCUUAGUUCAAGUUUUUUGGUGAAACCGACUCCAGGAAGUCUACUGUCUUUCCUAACUUAGAGAACAUUCAGGGAACUGGAGGAAAAGUAUGCACCAAGCCCAUUAGUGUUGCUUUGUAACCAAGUUAGGAAACAGAAGACCCACUGCUAUAGUGUAUUUUCCAACUUUAUUAAUUUUUGAUUUUGAGAAGGCCUUAAUUAACAUAUCCUAUUUGCUAUUAUUUUAUUUGUGCUUAUAUAUUUUCUUUCUAUAUGAAUAUCAUUUUUAGAAACAUCAAGUGUCAAUAAGGAAAGAAAUCGUUAAUUAGAAAUAAGCAUGAUUAAAGAUGAUUCCUUUUUUUUCAGAUGAUCAUGUGAUUUACAGAUCCAAUGAAGAUGGACUAUCCAUCUCCUUGCAACCAUCAUGUCAGAGUUCCAAGUAAGUUUUCUCCCAUUGAACAGAGUUAUCUCCACUUUGUUACAUAAUAAUAAUAAUAAUAAUAAUAAUAAUAAUAAUAAUAAUAAUAAUAAUAAUAAUAAUAAUAAUAAUAAUAAUAGCUAUGUUCACGCUCUUUAAAUUCUGAAUUUAUUAUUAUUAUUAUUAUUAUUAUUAUUAUAUAGCAAUAAAUAUUUGUUUGUUUAUUUAAAUAAAAACACCCGAGAAAACGACCGUGCAAUAAAUCUCUGUAUUUGCACGCAUUUCCGGAAAAAAAGCUGAGGCGUUCCGAAAUCGGCAUGCAUAUUAUUGCAUCUUUGUUGUCGUUUGGAAAAGCAAGAUGGCGGACGCCGGUCAAACAGAUAAUUUGACAGAGUCUAUUAUUGAUAAGCAAAUGGUGAUGAGCUUCAUUGACGAUCAAAAGAAAAAAGCAACAGUUAACUGCACGAAGCGAGAUUUGAAAUUGUUAUACAAAUGGCUGGUUGGAAAGGGGGAGUUGAGGUCAAUCGAGGACAUCCCUCACAAUGAACUUGAUGCUUUCUUGUCUGAAUUUUAUAUAACUUUAAAGAAAGAAAAUGGACAGGAAUAUGAACCUGGAACGUUUGACGGUAUUCGUGCCAGUAUUGAGAGGUAUUUAAAGGAAAAAGAGUACUCGCAUUCAUUACGUGACAAGGAAUUUAAUUUGUCAACAAGAGCACUGUCUGCAAAAAAGGUCCAGUUGAAAAAACUAGGAAAAGGACAUAAAGCCGAAUGCGUUCAAAGGCAGUAAGUAAGGAUGAAGAAGAUUUUUGUUGUGGAACAGGGGCAGCUCGGUGAUGGUACACCUAGAAUACUAAUAUUUUCUCUCUGGUACUAUUUUACAAAAUGUUUCGGACUGCGUGGUAGAAAUGAACAUAGGCAAUUACAAUUGGGAGAUAUUCUAAUGAAAAAGGACCCUGUGGAUAAUCGACAGUAUUUAGAAUUUUCAGAGAGACUUACGAAAACUCGUGAUGGAACCAAGGGGAAAGAGAAUCGUAAAGUAAAACCGAGACUGUAUGAAAAUAAAACUGAUCGCUGUCCAAUACGGCUUUUUAAAGCAUAUCUUAUUAGACGUCCUGAUAAUGUAAUGGAACCAGAGUCACCGUUUUAUUUGACAUGUAUUCCAAUGGAAAGAGUUGAAUCCAUGAUAUGGUAUUACGCAAGGCCUAUGGGAGAAAAUACACUGGCAAACUUGAUGCCAAUGGCCGCAAAAGAAGCUGGGAUGGACCGUAAAACAAACCACAGUGUGCGUAAAACAACAAUAAAAACCCUUCGCAAGGCAGGUGUACCUAGAGACAAAAUCAAACAUAUAUCUGGUCACAAAAGUACAAGUUCGAUUGAAGCUUACGAUGAUGAUCUCUCCGAUAAUGAGCAAAGGGAAUAUUCAGAUGUAUUAACUGGUGUUAAAUCGUCAAUUGGACAAUCAGUGACCGCAAAUGAAAGUGACAAUAUAUUUAACAAUAUGGCUUUACAGAAAAUUCACCGUCCUACUGUUUCACACCAAAUGAGCCCUCCGAUGGCCACAUCUUCACAGUCUGUAUGUUCUUAUACUGCUGCGCCUAAUAAUAUUCAUGAACAAUCUUCUAAAGGUGCGUCAGAGGCAUUAUCUAACAUGUUCAGUAAAGGCACUGUUUUGAAUAACUGUACUUUUAAUAUUAACUUUAACAUGGAACAGUCAAAUGGAGAAGGUCAGAGACAAUCUAGGCAAAAUUACUGUUAUGAACCACCAAGGAAAACAUACAAGAGAAUUCUUCCGUUGGAAUCUUCAGACGAAUCGCAAGAAUUCUAGACCAUAGACUUUUCAAAACCUAUGAAAAUUUUAUGGACACUUUUUUAUUGUUGAAUUAAUAUUACUUAUUAAACAUGUUAAAUUGUUGAAAACUGAUUUAUUUUCUUAAAAAAUACAAAAAAGACAUCAAUGCAAUAAUAAAUUACAUUUUAAAAGUACAUUUUUGUCAAACUAUCAGGAUCGGACCUUUAAACAACAACAAAAAUCAUUCAAUUUAUUAUCGUCACUUAGUGUCCUUUGUCUUUCAUUGAUAUCGCCUUUAAAAAAUACCAUAUUAAUAUCGCCCUUGGCAAUAGUGUUGACUUGAGUUAUUGGAACUGUACACAAUAUACAUGAUAUAUAGUUGGUCAUUUCAUGAUAUUGGACUGCUACAAAUUAUAUUUGCACACUCUGUCAUUAUUUUAUAGGAAUGCUACCAAUAUGAAAAAGAACAGAUAUGGGACAAUGGCACAAAGGCAUCACAAACUCACUAAAUCUAACAAAAAAAAAAAUCCUAAGCUGACAACACAGGAGAAAAACUUGCACACUACCUCCUUCUUAAUAUCCGAAAGCUGCAAAAUAUACCAAAUGUCAUUUCGGUCAGAAAAAAUCUGGUUCAAUUAUUGUGGUCACUUGUCUGUCUGUCUGUUCUCCAUAUUGUCACCACUUGUCCAUCUGUAUUGAGUGUAAUCUGUCACUAAGUUAAUUUUUAUUCAAUUUAUUGUUGUCCAUGUCUGUCUGUCAUCCGUCAACAGGGAAAACAUGACUGUCAUGAGUCUCAUCACAAUGAUCAAUUUUACUCGUAGUAAAAGUUUUAAAAAAAAUACAACUUCAAAUUAUUUUUUUUUCAUUUUUUAUUUAUUUAAAGGUUAACCAUGAAUGAAAUAUUUUACAAAGAAAAAAAUAUCACUCACCCCCAAAAAAUAUCUAAAAUAUUAUUGCACUAGUGCAAAUAACAUUUAUUAGCAUUAGUGCAAUAAUAUAUACUUGUCUCUAAAAACUUGUAUUUUGACUGAAUAUAACAGAAAUUUUGUGUGUAAAAUAUUUAUUACUAUAUAAUAAAAGGGUUAUUGCAUUAAUAUUGGUGGAUAUUGCCCUCGCAGUAUAUUCAUAUUGCACUCGUAAACUCGUGCAAUAUGAUAUACUGCUCGGGCAAUAUCCACCACAAUAUUAAUGCAAUAACCCUAUAUUAUUAAUAUUAUAUUAAUAUUAAUAUUUUAUUAUUAUUAUUAUUAUUAUUAUUAUUAUUAUUAUUAUUAUUAUUAUUAUUAAUUCUUUAUUUAAAGAGGGUAAACAUAGCUACAUUAAAUACUUCCAUUCAUAUAAAAAUAAAGAGAUGCUGUAGGAUUGCAAUUGAGACAGCCAACCAUUUGAAGAUCAAAUGAACUUAAUGUAAGCAAUUAUUAUAGGCUACAGUACAGAUUUCAUUAUGACAUCCAUUUUCACUGAAGAUUCUGAACUAGUACACAUUUUUAAUUACGGGCCAGCUGAUCGCAUACCUCUGGGUGCAGGAUUUUCUUGCUGCGUUGAAGACCCCUUGGUAGUCUCCUGCUUUUGGUUUCCACUAUGACAUAUUCCCAUUCUGUAAAAGGCCCUGACAUGAAAAAUAUGAAACAUUUCUAUUUAAAAAACACUCUCAACCUGUUUUAACGUUUAGUUACUACAAUGAGUUUCCUUUGUAUAUCAAUAUGAAUCAUGUUGACCUUAUAAAUAUCAAAUGAUGUUGUAAUACCAAUAUUACAUUAAAUAGUGCUGUUAUGAAUUAUUUCAUAAAAUCAGUAAAUAUGUACAAAAUUUGAUAUUAUCUAUAUAUACAGCAUUGCUUUUUUAUUCAGUUCACUAAAAAAAGCAAUAAAAAUAUUAUAGCAUACCAAUAGUUCACAAUUUGUAAUUUUUGCCAAAGUAAUGAUGACCCCAAAAACUUAUAAAUCCAUUAUUUCAAAUGCACACCCAUUAUUUCAAAUUUGUAGACCCAUUUUUUUCAAAUUUGUAAACUUCAACAGUCAAAUAACAAAUAUUAUCAUAUUUUAUAAGCAAGAUUUAGCAUAGAGACAGAAUAACGAUUAAUUUGAAUAGGAGAUCAAUUGAUCACUAUGAAAUAUAUGUAUCUUUCCAUCCCUGUGUUUAAAUGGCUGUCAGCUUGACAAGUCUGGUUAUUGUCAUAAUUCACCCAGGUUUAAUAACCAAUUCCCAUUUCUUUUUUCCGGUCAUUAACAAGUAUCAAAGUAUCGGAAUAUAUAAAGAUAUUAUUGACAGAAACAUCAGACCUCAUAACACUUCCAGUUAAUCAAUGGUGAAUUCUUUAUAAAGUGCUGACUCUUUCUUCCAUUUAUAGCGGUAUAACACAUUGUAGAUUAGGUUAUUCCAUUUUUCUGAGAAAUAGACCUCCAUUUUUUAUGCCCCAUCUGCAGUGGAGGGGGCAUCAAGUGUUAUCUUUGUCAUUGUUUGUCCUUUUGUAUGUAUAUCUGUAAGUCCAUAAAAAUGUCCUGAAAUUGGUUACCAUUCACUUACAACCAAAUUUUACGAAACUUAUACACAUUGCUUAUUACCACAAAACAUUUAAGUUUGUAUUUUGGUUGUGUCAUUUUUACUGUUCUAGAGUUAUGUCCCUGUAUAACAUUAUAUGCCAGCAGGGGGAUCAUCUGUUACAAUCUGUGUACAUUCUCCAUUUAUUUUUAUUAUACCCUUGCUUUAUACUGUUAUACUGUCUGUCCAUCUUUCAGUCUGUCCAUCAGUCCCAUGAAUAAGUUUUGUCCCAUCUUUCUCAGGAACUACAGCUAUAUACUGUGUGAUGCAUUUUCGUAUUCAUCAAUCAACAACUUCCUGUAUACCAAACACUUGUAUCAUUUUACACAUAACUCCAAUGUUAAGUUGAAAAUUUUUGUCACAUCUUUCUUAUGAACUACAAUACAAGGAUUACUGAAAUUUAGUUUUAGGGUUUAUACAAGUCAGCUACAUGUAUACUGUGUGAUGCAUAUUCAGUUUCAUCACUCAACAACUUCCUGUUAAUGCUUGUUUUAAGGUAUUUAGUUUAUAUAAUAGGGAUCUUACAAGAAUCAGGUCUAAGCUGUUUUAUAUGGGUAAACUGAUAAAGAAAAAUGAAUGAAGCAAGGAAUGUAACGUUCACAUCUUUUUCACUUUAUUUAGCAUAUUAUGUUUCUUUAUUUAGAUUUCAAAUUUGCGCUAUUACUUUCACUUUGCAGUCUUUAUAUUCACAGGUUAUAUAUAUCCUUAUACAAUAUUAAAACCUAAAUUAACAACACCAUCUUUAGAAUGUAAUAAGGUUCAAAUAGUAUAUCCAUUACCUACAAAUGGUUUAUUUCUGUAAGAAAGAAACCCUUGACUUGGCUGCACUAGGGAAGUGCUAUAAUUGACAUUUCCUUUCUUUAAUCAGAUACCUUAUAAUGUCUUCCUUCUUGCUAUAAAUAAAGUCAAGUUGGGGAUGAUUAAAAACACUUCAUUAUAGUAUAGAUUUUUGAUUCUAGCCAAUUAACAAAGAUUUUAUAUUCUUCAGAGCUUUCUAACUUUAUGUAUUAAAAGCUACCUUUAAAUACAAAACUUAGAUUUAUAUUAAAUAAUCGUUGAUUUAUGAAGUCAGAAUGAAGGAAAGAAAUCUAUUAAUCUGACUGGAAGAACAAGUAUAUAUGUUCAAAGUGUUUGGUAUUUGGUAUUUAAUGUAGGUCAUCAGUUGUGUUCUGUUCCAAAAGAACUGUCUAUCCAAUUCAAAUAUUAUGAACUCAAUGACAGGAGUGAUCCUUUUAGUGUGUACAUACAUGUAGUAUGUAAUUUUAAGGCUACAAAUGCUCAGUUACAAUUGUCCUAUAUCUUGAUUACCAUAAUAGAUACAAGAGUUGUGACUAAUGAAAUUUUCAGAAAGUUAAAAUCUGUCUUGUACUUUUAUACUUAUAUUUGCCAUUCUACCAAACUGAUCAUAAGUUCUUAAAAGUAUUUGUUUAUGAAUGUCGGUCUUCAUGUCCAAUGGAAGUUUUCUUGCAUUUCUCUCAUGAAAACAAUUCAGAGCAUCCUGAAGUUGUAGUAUCAAGGUUCAUGUGAGCUUGCUUUACUGGGUUAUAUGUUUUCACAUCCAUCACUCAUCAUGUUUACCAAAUUCUUGUAAUGGUGGUAGGUAUCAUUAGAGAACCUAGCUGACAAUAUAACUUAUUUUGUCUUUAGUUAUUUCAUUAUUUUCUCUUCAGUGAUGUUGUUUAACCUUUUGUCCUUCUGAUACCCUGACUAAUGACGAUGAGAUGUAUAAACUGAUAUUUGAAAAAACAAAUACAUUAAUGAUUAAAUUAAUCAAAACUAUGGCAGAGAGAAUCCAUUUACAAAUGUCUUUUUUUUCAUUUCUGUAGUAGCAAUGUAUGUUCUAUAGGUUACAGUCUAAUGAAAUACCAUUCUCUAAGGGUUAUUUGUAAAAUUCUGAUUUUAGUUGUAAAGAAUUUGUCCUACUAAGUUUAUUCAUGAAUUGAUUAAUCUAUUGCAGGUUGUGAUUUCCCCAAACUUCCGAAGCAGCUUGAUGAAAUCCCGUCUGCAAAUGAAUUUCCGUUGUUCCGACACCGCUGGAAUUCCAAUGAAGUAAGAUCUGAUUGUAACAUGUCAUUAAUUAUGUCACAGCUAGUUAAUUCCUGCUGGGGAUUAAUAUAUCUACAGUGUUUAUUGCUUAUCUUAUUGUGGUUAUUGAGUGGGCAUGAUAACUAUAAUGUUUAUAACCCAUCUUAUUGAGUGGGGAUUGAUGCAUGAUGGUUUAUUACAAUGGGCUCAGUGACUUAGAGAUUUGUAUAUAUACAUUUAUAGGAAAUCAAGUGAUUGCCUGACAUUAAUUAGAAAUUAACUUGGCAGAUUAUUAAGAAUAAUAUUGACUUUGUUUGGGAUUUUUAAAUGUAUUCUGGUCCAUUAUAAGAUUGUAUUGCCCAAAAUUACAACCCGCCGUUCUGAUAAUUCUAUAAAUAUCUUCUCCAAAAAUUAUUGAGCUUGCUUAUGAGGAUAAAGAUUUGUAUGCCUUAAUAUUGCCUAUAAUAAUAGAUGUGCACUAUGUUUUAGGUUUUAGGUUUUAUUAAAAGCUACCCAAGGGGUAAAACUUCUUUGACCUUUACUUUAUUUCUAAAUGCCACACAUGCAAUAUUAGUGCCAUGUUUAUUUAAAUGAACAGUCUGUGCACUCAUUAUUCUGAUUAAAAGGCAUAUCUUAAGUGUCCAUUCACUUACAAUCAUCUGUCAAUUGCAUUCUACUUUCUGUUUUAAAGACCUUGCGGGAUCCUCAGGUUUGUCAUAAUGAUAUACACUUUCAGAUGUUUGUAGGCAGGAAUUUCAUUGGUGGAUAGUAUUAAAUCUAGAUCAAAAAGUAGAUUGUAAAAUUGUCAGAUCAUAAUGCAAGCAAAAUAUGAACAUAGUCUCUGAAUUUAAAUCAAAUUGAACACCCAAUUCUAGUGACCUUGAGAAAUGUAAAACAAAGGAGUAUAGAGAACAGAGUAUAUAAUCUGAAUAUCCUUCACCUCUCUAUUACCAUCAAACAGUAAUAAUUAGUUGUUACAGAAUACUCCAGACAUAAUGGGAAUGAAGAGCUGGGUGUAUAACGUACGUGGCAUCCUGUCAUAUUGACUCCUGUCCGUAAUGAAACAGGAAAUCACCGUAAUCACAUGAUAUUAGACGUUAACAUCCAGUAAUUGCAGAGUUGUGGCAGGAUGUAGUGCUAAUGUAACAUAGUGAGCUUCUUUUGUUGUGAUUCAUAUAAAGCCAUUAUAAAGACAAGAUUUUUCUAAGAUUUUUAAGAUAUCUAAUCACAUUUCCUGAAUGCUCUUAUUAGGUAUGGUCUUAAUUUAUGAUAGGAUGAACUUUUUAACAAAAAAUGAUCUUUGCUUUUACAUGAUUUAUUUUAAAUAGAUGUUUGAUGAGUUGUCACUAUAAAGGCAUUUAAUAAAUAGAAAAGAUUUAGGAAAAUGUAUUUUAUUUCGUAAACACCAACGGUACAUGUAAUGCAAUCUGAAAUAGCAUUAUUCAUCCUUUUCACGUAGUGUAAAUCGUUAGUUUUAUUUUAUAGGCAUGAUAGGUAUGGAUUUUCAUAAUUUCAUGAAGUUAGAAUCACUAAAAUUUACUUUUGCUUAAAUUUGUUUUUCAAAGAAAACUCAAAUAGUGUACAAGAAAAUUGAAAGUUAGAAUAAAACCUCCAAAACAGGUUUUGUCCUAGAACUCUCAAAGUUUAAACUGUUCAAAAGCAGCCCUCUAUUUAGAGAAUGUUGAGAAACAUGUUACUACAAUUACAAAAAUGUACAAAAAUCUUGCUACUUUAUUGGAAAAGAUGGAGAACAAUCCCAUAUUUUUAGAACUAGACUAUAGAUGCUAUUAACUGUUGACAGGUCAAACACUGUCAUCAUCUUUCAGUCCGUUUAUGAUCAAAACAAAUGGUUAGGUGAUGUAGUUUAGAAUUUACAUAUAUAUUAAAGAACUGGUCUAAUUGCUAAUAUUGAGACAGACGAAAAGGUUAGUAAUUUUGAAGACCUGAUCCACUCAGUAUUGUGAAUUGUCAUGUGUUACAGAAAAAAUCAGUCCAUUUACUUAAUUCUUCCUUUAUUCCUGAAAUAGAAAAUAAAAGUAAAAUUCUCCAAUCCUUUUAGACUUUUAAUAUGUUUAUUGAUAUUUAAAAAGAAUUAUAUAUGUGGUAACUUUAUGAUUGAAAAAAUGUAGUCUUUUUGUAUGUUUAUUUUGGUGAACUUAGUCUCAACUUUCAUGGGAUGUGUAUAUUAGUUUUAUGAAAUAUUAAAAAGGUAGAUUGUGUAGGUAUAAAAACCCAAUUGAUUUUGUAUUGUAUAAAAAGAUAUAUAUCUAGUAUAAAGGAAACCUUAUUGAUUUUGUUUUGUACAUUAAUGAUUCAAUUUUGGAAUUCAAUGUGUUUACUGCACAUAUUGAGAUCUUUAACCCCUAUCAAAAACUUUGGUGAAAUGUAUCAAUUUAUGAUUGGAUUUUCUGGUCCUUGAACUUGGAUUACUGUUUUAUUUAGUCCUUGUAUUUAGGCAUCUAGAAAGAUAGUAAAUACAUAUAGCUCUCUUUGACAUGGCAGACAGUGAUUGAAAUUAUUAGCAAAGGAAAACUAUCUGAUUUAGCUAGAUAAUUGCAAAAUCUCAGCUUUUUUACCAAUUUAUAUGGUUAAUAUUUUGUUUACAAGGACCGGAACAGAUGAUGACUGCUUUAAUUAUAAAUGAUUGUUUUAAUUAAUUUAGUAGAAUCUUGAAUUACUCAGUCUCUUAAAUAUGGAGACUUAUAUUAUAAUAUUUAUACCUAUAAUAGAGAUUACAGUUGAUAUGUGUUUCAAAUUGGCAUUUGAUUGACAUCUUUGCACAAAAAAUGAGAAAAAAACUUAAUUCUGUAGAUUAUAUGUCUAUCAAACACUUUAUUAAUAUGAAAGUUAAUAUAAAAGUGCCAGUAUAAAUCUGAUAAACUGUAACAUAGAUGAUUGAAGAUUGUCAUCUUAUUAAGUCUGUGUAUAGACAAAGAAAAUUUGCUGGUAGGGUGGUUAGAGUCUUCAGUGUGUCUGGCUUAUUGACAAAUUUCACUUGACAAACAAAAUACUCAUCUGAUUAGACACUUACUGUUAAUUGAAUGACCAAAAAACAAACCCCGUCUGGUAGGCUGGUACUGUGGUAAUUAUGAAAGGAAAAUCCUGCUCGGAUAUUGCACACCGAAUGACAAAAGUUGUCAAAAAAUUAAAAUAUGACAAAAGUUAAGACCAACACUCAGAUUAGACUUAUUCUUAAAUAUUCGACUUUUUCCUUCUCUUUGGUCGUGCUGUUGUCUCUUUGACACAUUCCAAAUUUCUAUUCUUAAUCUUUAUUUGACCUGUCUCAUCCCAAGUUCAAUUUUGAAAAUUUCAAAUAAAAUUUUGGGUUGUUUCACAUCCAGUUUUGAUUUAUAGAAACAGAAAGGCUUGUUCAGACCAAGAAGGAGGAAUGGAAAUGAAUUAAAAGAAAUUUUGUUCUGUGCAUUAGAAUAAGAUAUUUUGACACAUGUUUAAUCAUAUAUUAGUUUUAAUUGCUGCCUUGAUACUGUUUCCCUUUCAAAAGUGUUGCAAUGAUAGUUUUAAGGAGACUAUUUGUGUUACUGUCAAUGCUUAACAGAACUUGAUGUCUUUGAAUUGUUUAGUAGCAGAAUUAAUGGUUUUCCUCUUGGCUUUUGUUUCUGUAACAAGGAUUGUAUUUCUAGAGAUAUUAUGUAAGUAAAUAUCUAAUGGAUUGUUUUACAGGUGGAAAUAGAAGGUAGUAUAAACAUUGUUAUAAGAAUAGUAGAUUGAUUGUAAAUUGUGAUAAAUUAAGUCUGACAGGUGCUUGUACAUUUUAUUGUUGUCAGUUUCAGGUAGGUCUAAUAACCUGAGGUUUUAACAGUGUAUAAAUCAGAAUUAUUUUGGCAGUUAUGGUCUGUCCAGGAGGUUGUAUUGUUCUUUAUUUUAAAUACAGUCUGUAUGGCUCAAGUGCUAGCAGUUGUUAUUUUAAUUUGUGCCCCAUUUACCCUGUUUAUUACAGUCAGUCAAAUUGGAGUUUGAAUCAACUGGUGAUUAGGUAGUUUUAGUUUGGUUUGAUGGCUGUUGGUUUAGUUCAAGUUUUAAAUAAAAUUGAGAAUGGAAUUGAGAAAAGAAUACUGAGGUGUCAGUCAUGUACCUGAGGUUUUAAAAUCUUGCCAAUUCAAGUUUUAAAAGUAACAUGCUUGUUUGUGCUGUCACUUAGGCUUGGAGUUUGUCAAAACUCUGUAUUCCAACGAGGUGCUAAAUGAUGACAAUCAUAUUAACUACCCAUGGUGCAUUAUUUAUUUUUAUAUAUAUAUAUAUUUUUUCAAAAGUCAGGAUUUUACAUUAACCUUAAAUUCAGCAGCACCUGACUAAGGUGUUACAGGGUUUUUGUCUCGCCUUGUUGGAGUAAAAAAACGAGACAUUGGUAUGCUGUUUCCAGUGUCGGCGGCGUCAGCGUCAAAUGUGUAUCGUCUAUUGACUUCAAAACUUUUGCUUAUUUUACAUGUAUUAGUUUGUGAUUAUAUAAGGUCCGUUUAUGGGGAACCCCAAGUGGUAGAUCAAUGAUAUUUGUAGUUGUGUAAGCAUCGGCAUAUCUUAUUUCCAUGGAGAUAAUUAGGCUCCGCCCCCUUAGUAUGAUGGUCUAUUGACUGAAAAUUUUUCUGAGUUAUAAUAUAUUAGUUUGUGAUUACAUGUAGGUAAAUUCAAGGAGGAACCAUUAGUGAUAGGGCAAUGUUAAUAGGUAUUCAGUUGUAUAAGCAUUGGCACAUCUCAUUUCCAUGAAGAAUAUUUGGCCUCACCCCUCAGUCACAGUCUAAUGACUUUCAAAAUUAUCUUAGUUUACAUGUAUUAGUUUGUGAUUAGAUCAGUUUAAGAUGAUAUUUGGUAUGCAAAUUUAUUGGCAUUUGCAAGUAUUAUUUCCAUGGAGAUUAUAUAGCCCCACCCCCUCUCAUUGACUUUGAAACUUUUCUAUAGUUUACUACUUAAUGUUUGUAUUUAGAUUUGGGAACAACUUAUGAUAAGUCAAUGGUCAUGAUGGUAUUUGGUAUGCAGCUGUAUAAGCAUUGGCACAUCUCAUUUAGAGGAGAUUUUUUAGCCAUGUAACUCAGUCAUGGUUCAUUGACUUUGAAUAUUUUCAUAACUUGUGUAAGAUGUGAAAGUAUUGCUAUUUUGAUUUCAACAUUUGCAUAAUCAAAAUUACAAUUAGGCGAGACAUAUCUCUGUGAUAACAGUUCAUAAGAAUAUAAAGACGAAAGACUACGGUUUUACCAAGAUAUUAAAAACUGAAAUAUAGAUCAUUUAAAAUCUCUUUUUGUCUCUCUGAUUUUCUCCUCUCUCUCGAUCUCACUCUCUUACUGUCACUGACUAUAUAAAUAUAUAAUAACGAAUAGCAUGAUAGAAUGAAUUGGAUUCUAAUAGAGUUUAACUCUGUUAUACUUAUCACAAGUUUACAGGUAGACAAGAUAAAAAAGAUAAUAAGUAAUUAAUUUCGUUGUAAGCAAAUUUAACAGUGUUACAUAAAUCUCAUUUAUAUGAUAAUCUAAAGUGUUAUGAAAUCUAUUUCACAUGGUAAGUUCCUUAAAGUCAAUCUCACUCUAUUUUAAUAGACUAUUUUCAUAUCACCAACUUUUAACUCUGAUGUUUAUAUUUUUGUGACAGGUUACCUUCUCUGUGGUUGGACAUCCUGGUACUAUGUCAAGUAGGAGCAACUUAAAGAAGUCCUGCUCGCUGGCCUUUGCUUUUCAAGCUUCGCCUCAAAAAUUUGCAAAUUAAAUAUUUUUUUAUUAAAAUUUUUGGAGUCCAAAAAUCCAUAGAACAAGAAAUCAAAUUGGUGUGGCCUAAACUCUUAUUGAUAUAAGUAUGUUUUAUUGGAUUUAAUAACCUAGUUAUUUGCUAGUAAAAUUGGUUUAUUGGGCUACCAGUGCUGUGGUAAUAGAUCAUUUAUAAUAGUUUUUGGUACAUACAAAUGCUUUUACUUAACUUAUGUUAAAGUGUAGAACAAGUUAAUAUGAUUAUUAUAAGUAUUUGCACAAGCUAUGUUAUACAGGGAACAGCAGCUGUUACAAAAUAUAUCUCAAACAAGAUGUAGAAAAUCUGGCUUAGUUAGUCAAUAAAAAAUAACUUGAAUAAACUUAUAAUAUUACAUUUGUGUAAACAGACUAAUUCUAAUCAGACAUAAUUUGAACUUUUCACUUUUCAACCUAGAUAUCUGACUAGUAAAUUUAAUAGAAAAGAGCAGAUAUAUAGUGGAUCAUUUCAUGACUUUUAAAAAAAACAAAACAAGUGUCCAGGAGUGUCUUUAACCAUGAGGUAAACUGUCUAGCCUUACUGCAAGUUCAUGACCAACUCUACCAAUGGGUUAGAGCAGAUUAGUUCUAUUUUGUCUUUUAGAAUUGUUUGUUUGUGGUUGUUGUUUAGUUAACCUUUCAAUGACCUUUGCUCUAUCAUGGUGGCCAGUUUAUCUGAUUUAUUGAAAUAAGGUAUACAGAGUUGUCACAAUAUUCCUGGUUAUUUAAGAUUACUCCUCUAUUAACAAGAAUAAUGAGCUGUACAAAGUAUUGCUGUUGAUCAGGUCAAACGUCAUUAGCUUUACUUAAUAAAUAGGUAGGAUAUAAGAAGAUGUGGUAUAAGUGUGACUGAGACAACUCUCCAUGUAAGUCAUAAUUUGUAAAAAUAAACCAUAAUAAGUCAAAGUACGGUCUUUAGCAGGAAGCAUUGGCUCACACCAAACAGCAAGCUAUAACAGACCUUAAGACCUUAAGAAUGAGUAAUGUAAAACCAUUCAAACCGAAAAACCAACGAUCUAAUCUAUAUAAGUGUCUUGAUGUUAGUUAUAUAAUAACACUUUACUUUGUUUCAGGAGGUGGCAGCUGUCCUGACUGCAUUUGACAAACAUAAAGAAUGGAUGUCACUAGAAGUCAAAAUCAGGUAGGUUUCACCAGAGUUUCAAAAUCAUAUUCCCAUUAAAGGUCUAACUCAUUGCCAAAACUCUCAAUAUUGAACAUUUUUAGAUGUAAGAUUAUAUAUUUCUCUUUGUCACACUAUACAUUUUAAGUGUGCAUAACAAACUUAUUCGGAAAGUUUCUUUUUCUUAUUUGUUGUGUUACAUUUCUUCCAUUCAACACAGAAAGUGAAUAAAAAAUUAUUAAUGAAAGCCAUGCCUAUUAUUGUGUUAAAUCAAGUGUUUGCGUUCAAAGUUUUUAGUGAAUUCAAAGUUUUUAGUGAAACAAAAUAAUAUGAAAUAGCAGACCAGCAUCAUUUUGUUUUUUUUUUAAAUUCCAAGGUUAAGUGAAUUUUAUAGAAAUUGAGUUAUCUAUCUUGGAUUGUCAAGGCUGUAUUUUGCUUUUCUUAAAAGCUACUUCAGCAAAGAAAGUAAUUGUGUUGAUAAUAUUAAAAUUAUGCUGUGAAUAUGUCUCAUAGAUUUAAAGAUAAAUCAAAGUAGAUUAAUGUCUCGUGGGAGACUGUCUUUUAAAUAAGUUUAACGAUUGACAUUUUUUGGACUGAAUGCUUUCUCACUACCUGAUUGGAAGAUAUUACUGACUCUUAAUAAAAGUAUGUUGAUUGGUUGUGGCAAUUUUAAACCUAGUAAAUAUCUUCAAUACUUGCAGAGGUUUGAAUUGUUUAUUUUAGUUAUUAAAGUUGCAUUGUGAUCAAUCAUGCAUAUCUGUACAUAUAAAUGUUAUUCCAUGUAGCUGGUUAUUUAAAAAAGUGCACCACAUUUUUGAGGUGAUUUCCAAAAAACAAAAAUAUUAGUCAUUCCUUAUAUGUAAAUCAUGAAAAAAGGUUUAUGCCACCACAUUCACAUGACAAAAUCUUGUCUAUGUACUGAUAGACAAAUAACCUUUAAGCCAAUCAGAAGACUUGUUACAUCCAAAAUUAUUUUUUUUGUCCUUUGUAGGCCCCCAAGUGGUUCUAUGAUACUGUACAGCAGAAAGAAAGUAAGAUACAAAAAGGAUGGUUACUGCUGGAAGAAGAGAAAAGGAGGAAAAAAUAUAAGAGAAGACCACAUGAAGCUCAAAGUUCAAGGGUUAGAGGUAAGUCAUAAAUAUAUGAGAAGACCAUAUAACGCUCAAAGUUCAAGGGUUAGAGGUAUGUCAUAAAUAUACGAGAAAACCAUAUGAAGCUCAAAGUUCAAGGGUUAGAGGUAAGUCAUAAAUAUAUGAGAAGACCAUAUGAAGCUCAAAGUUCAAGGGUUAGAGGUAUGUCAUAAAUAUACGAGAAAACCAUAUGAAGCUCAAAGUUCAAGGGUUAGAGGUAUGUCAUAAAUAUACGAGAAAACCAUAUGACGCUCAAAGUUCAAGGGUUAGAGGUAUGUCAUAAAUAUACGAGGAGACCAUAUGAAGCUCAAAGUUCAAGGGUUAGAGGUAUGUCAUAAAUAUACGAGAAGGUCAUAUGAAGCUCAAAGUUCAAGGGUGAGAGGCAAGUCAUAAAUAGGAGGAAAAGAUAUACGAGAAGAUCAUAUGAAGCUCAAAGUUUAAGGGUGAGAGGUAUGUCAUAAAGAGGAUCCCAAGUCACAUAGAUUUCACUGGAGAAAACCAAAAUAUAGAAUGUAUAAAUAUAGGAAGAUGUGGUAUGAUUGGCAAUGAGUCAACUCUCCACAAGAGACUAAAUGAUACAUACAUUAACAAUUAUAGGGAACUGUACUGCCUUCAACAAUAUGCAAAGCCAAUAUUGCAUAGUUUGAUAUAAAAGGCUCGGAAAUAACAAGUGUAAAACAAUUCAAACAAAAAAAGUUAAAUCCAGAUUUAUGUACAAAAUGAUGGGGAAAAAACCCGAGCAAUCUGCAUAUAAAUCUUAAAAUUUUUAUGCAACAAAUAUCAUUAAUAACUAUAAUUUAAAAAACGAAGCACACUUUGUAACCAUAGAUUACCUUUUUUCUAAUUCCUAAUUAAGGAGUAUGUAUAUGUUACUCACCUUUUCCAAAUAUAUAUUAUAUUUUUAUUUUCAGUGUAUUUAUGGUUCCUAUGUACAUUCAGAUAUUCUACCCACUUUCCAUAGAAGAUGUUAUUGGUUGUUACAGGUAUGUAAAAGAUGUAUUAGUGUCAGUGUUUACUGACUAUUCCUAAAUAUAUUCUUUGAUUUCUUCAUACAUGAAACAUUGAUCAGUAUUACAAAAAAAGGCUACUGGAAAAUAUUUAAUGUGUAUGAUAUGUCAUAACUCUAGAUGCAGUGUUUUAAGUUUUUUGAAGUGCAACUUUAUAUGAAAUUGACUCUUAACACAAUCAAUGCCACUUCAACACAAUGCUAAAGAAUGUUCAACAGAUCUGCAUAGUAUUGAUUCAGAACACUUAUAUGUACAGAAAAACAUCUAAAAAAUCAUUACUUGGGCAUUCAAAAAUCUACCUUAAGUUAUUUCUUGAAUGAGGACAUGCAAUAAAUAUUCAGUCUUUAUCAUAAACUUUUGAAUGAACAGGCUUAAAGGUGAAUUUUAGGAAAAUUUAAGUUUGAUUCUAUUGGCUUGUAGAUAUAGUUAUAUGCCAGGCAGCUUUUUUACGAGCCUGGGCUGGUGGGCCUGUGGUUGAGCACAUUAAUCAAAACAAAAAUGUUCAUUCCUAUGCAGUUUCUUUGUAUUUUAAAAGCAUGUAAUUAUGCUGAUUUCAUGAUUUAUGUGUACUUUCCAGAAUCCUGACAUAGUGUUAAUUCAUUAUUUAAAUGUCCCCUAUCCUGACGACGGCAAGGUAAAAAUUCCCAUGAUGCCCGGUUCUGUCGAGAAGAAAGAAUGGACAAAAGAAGAACUAGUAGAACAGCUAAGACCAAUGUGUAUGUAUUAUACAAUACUGGGGAUUCUCUACUUUAUUGUGGACACCAAUCUUUGUCAAGCCUGUGACUUUUGUUGAAGAAAGCUUGACAUAGGGAUAGUGAUCCGUCGGCGGCUGCGGUGGCGGCGUUAGCUUACUCUUAAAAGCUUUAUAUUUUAGAAGGUGGAAGACAACUGGAUGCUUCAUACUUUGUAUAUAGAUGCCCAUGUUACGAAGUUUCUGUCAGUCACAUAUCUAAUGUCCUUGACCUCAUUUUCAUGGUUCAGUGACUACUUGAAAAAAAAGUUAAGAUUUUUUUGUAAUGUUAAAUUCUCUCUUAUUAUAAGUAAUAGGAUAACUAUAUUUGAUAUGUGCGUACCUUGCAAGGUCCUCAUGCCGUCAGACAGUUUUCACUUGACCUCGACCUCAUUCAUGGAUCAGUGAACAAGGUUAAGUUUUGGUGGUCAAGUCUAUAUCUCAGAUAUUAUAAGCAAUAGUCUAGUAUAUUUGGUGUAUGGAAGGACUGUAAGGUGUACAUGUCUAGCUUGCAGGUGUCAUCUGACCUUGACCUCAUUUCCAUGGUUCAGUGGUCAAAGUUAAGUUGUUGAGUUUGGGUCUUUUUUUCUAAUUCUAUAUGCAAUAGGUCAAUUAUAUUUGGGAUAUGGAAAUAUUUUAUGAUCUAUAUGUCAGUCGCCCAGGUUUUAUUUGACCUUGACCUCAUUUUCAAAGCUCAUUGCUCAGUGUUAAAGUUUUGUGUUUUGGUCUGUUUUUCUUAAACUAUAAGUAAUAGGUCAACUAUAUUUGUUGUGUGGAAGAAUGUUAGCUGUUCAUGUCUGCCUGGCAUGGUUCAUCUGACCUUGACCUAAUUUUCAUGGUUAAUGUUAAGCUUUUGUGACAGUUGUAAUAAAGCUUUAUAUUUAGGACUAUAAACCUAAUAUCAAUGAUAAGUAAAGAUGGCAAGACAUUUCAGCUUGUGCACUCUUGUUUACAAUCUUCAAAUUAGGAUAGAAUGUUUUAAAUAAAAAAAAAAAUUAAUGUUUUAUCAAAAUUAAAAUGUUAAAGGAAGAUAAUAAAUUAUUUGAAAAUGGAAAUUGUUGCAAAAUGUAAACUUUUGACUGAAAUGUGUUUAAGCAAUGUACCUUUAAUAUGAAACUGAUAUACUAUAAGAUUUCAACUCUUCAUUAAUUUAGAUUACAUAUUUAACCGCCAUUUCAUUAAUGAGAAGGCUAAAAUUCGUGAAGAUUAUUUUUCACAAUAAUUAAACCAAAAUUAAUAUUGGUUAUAUCUAUUGUUUUUUUUUUAAGUUUUCAAUUUAUGGAUAAGAUAGAAAAGAAAGGAUAUGGAAUGACAAGAUCAGUACAUGUACAAAAAAAAACCACUUUUCAUCUCAAUACCACAGUGACAUCUUCAACACUGAGCAAAAAGUCUGUUUCAUUGAAAGUUAAGAGCAAAUGAUUUAUAUAGACUUUUGGAAGAUGUAACACAACCAGUCAAAAAGAACAGACUCAACAUUCAGUUCAUAUUUAAAACAAAAUAGUUCCUAUCAAUAUAGCUCAUAUCAUACUUAUUUCCAUUUCAGUUUCUGCUGGAAGCUCAGAUCAAAUGGUUAGUGUUUUAUUAUAUAAAUAGUUAAAUUGAUUGUUAUGUGGCACAAAACAUUCAUGAUUAAUAUGUAAAAAGUAAAAAAUUUAAAAGUGCUUUUCAGUCCUAAUUUUUUUUAUAUUUGUACACAGUCACCAAAAAUAACCACUGAAAAUAAGUUCAAGCACAAAUUUUAUAGGCCCAGUACUGAGUAAUGUUUUAUGACCAUAGUUUCAGGAGACACAUUAUGCAGAUAGAUUUUUGUGACAGUUUUAUUAAUUGUUCUUGUAAUUUUUUAAUAAGAUUUCACUAGCCCUGAAUUUAGUUUCACAAAAUAAUCAAAUAGUUCUAGAAUUCGAUAACAAAAUAUAUUUAAGGAAUUAUAUGUAUUUUCUAAUUAUAUUUUUGAAAGAUUUUUUAGAAAAAAGUCUUUUACACGGAUUAUAAAAAAAGAAGAUGUGGUAUGAUUACCAAAGAGACAACUCUCCACAAAAGACCAAAAUGACACAGAAAUUAACAACUAUAGGUCAUAGUACGGCCUUUGAUAAUGAGCAAAGCCCAUACCGCUUAGUCAGCUAUAAAUUACCCCGAACUGACAAUGUAAAACAGUUCAAACGAGAAAACUAACGGCCUAAUUUAUGUAGUUUAUGCUAAUCUAUUUACAGCUUGAAGAAACAGUAGAAAAACUUGUAAAGCACCUUAUACAGUACCAUGAAAGUCAGGACAAGACCAAAGGUCAAAAUAUAGGUUACAAGAAGAUAAGUUGUCAUUCCAAGCCAGAAGAUGGGGCCAGUUCAACAGGGGAUCCGUCUUCAGCUUCUAUUCCUGAUGAUUCUCAGUGUAAAGACAUAUUAAUGAACACAGUUUGUCAACUGAAUGCUAAAACUCAACAGUCUUUCCCUCAGGCACCCCAUCAAAGGCAUUCAGGAGUAUUACAUAUCCAGCCUAAAACCAGUGAUUCUAUUCCUUGCUCAGAAAACCUCACUCAAGCUCCUUUUUUGCUCAGUGUGAGUCAGUUGCCAACGACGAGUUAUUUGCUGCUGAGUGGAGGAGUAGCCUCAAACACUGUUUCAUCUGUCACUGUAACAUCAGGUUGCCAACAGCAACCAAUUCCUCAUGUUUUGGACCAGCCUAUUCAUCAUAUGUCUCAUCCUAUCCAAGUACCUCAUAAUAUUCCGGGGCAGCUCAAUUUAUUUGCUCAUCCUAACUCUACAGACCAUGAUCCUCAUAAAACACAAAUGGUAUAUUCUGAGGCACAGAAUUUUAUGCCUACUUCCUGUACACAGACUAAAACAGAUACUGGGCACGUUCCUCAUCUACGGAAUGUGUCAGCCGAUGAUAUACAGGAUCUUAUACAUUCAUCAUUUCCUGUGGAAACAUCAAACAAUUACGCUAACUUCCCUCAAGCAAUGAAUGACAAUAACAAUACUGGGUUGCCAUUGACAACAUCAGACUACAAUAUUCUGGAUAACUUAGAUUUUGAGAUUUCUGAAAUAGAAAAACUUUACAAUGAUCUUAGUAGACAGCCAGAUACUCAUAGUUUAAAAGGGAAUGGAAUGCAUAAAAAUAAUACAUGUGAUCAAGAAUUAACCAAUGAAAUUAACUUAUUUAACAGUGACCUUGUUCAGUCAUGUCAAGUUCAACCUGAACAAAAUUUUCCAGACAUAUCAACCAUCUGUGAUAAUAAGACUGUAAAUAAUGGUAAAGGGUUGUCAGGACAUAAAGGGGAGGAGCACAAAAUCCUGGAUUACUCUCCGGAGUGGUCAAAUUCUCAGGUAUGUACCUACAAAUCCUGGAUUACUCUCCGGAGUGGUCAAAUUCUCAGGUAUGUACCAAAAAUCCUGGAUUACUCACCGGAGUGGUCAAAUUCUCUGGUAUGUACCAACAAAUCCUGGAUUACUCUCCAGAGUGGUCAAAUUCUCAGGUAUGUACCAAGAAAUCCUGGAUUACUCUCCGCAGUGGUCAAAUUCCAAGGUAUGUACCAAGAAAUCCUGGAUUACUCUCCGCAGUGGUCAAAUUGACAAAUUCCCAGAUAUUUAUGAACAAAUCCUGGAUCAUAAUCUUGGGUGUGAUCUAGUUCUCAGUUUUAAACUCUUAUAUGGUAAAAUUUUUAAGUUUCGUGUCUAAAAACUAUGGCAUUUCUCUACAAAUGCUCAUAUUCAAAAGUAAAUGUAUAUAUACAAAAUAUCCAGUAUAACUUUCCAAAUUAGUUAGAUACGAAAAGGAUGAAGGUCAAGAAAAUGUUAGAGCCCUUUAGUGUAGGAUUCACUUUGUCCGAUGAAGGUCAAGGAAGUGUUAGAGCCCUUUAGUGUAGGAUUCACUUUGUCCGAUGAAGGUCAAGGAAGUGUUAGAGCCCUUUAGUGUAGGAUUCACUUUGUCCGUCAGAUUGUUAACCAUUAUUUUUUGUGAAUGCAAAGUCUUCAAAAGUAUGGUUAGAAAUCAGAUUAAACUUUGUACCUGUGUCAUGCAAAUUGUUAAUCUUUGGUGAAAAUUGUUAAUCUUUGGUGAAAAUUGUUAGUCUUUGGUGAAAAUUGUUAAUCUUUGGUGAAAAUUGUUAAGGAGAGGAAGAGACCAAUGGAAUAAUAAAAAAUCAAAAGUUGAAAAAAAAAUGACAAUACCGUGGGAAAAUAUAUAAAAAAAUAUUAGAAAUAAUAGUCAACCAAAUUUUACUAAGAAAACAGAAGAUGGUUCAUCAACAUGCAUAAACAUUCAAAUUAAUCAGAUUCAAAUUAAUCCGAUUUUAAUCAUAGGUAAAAAAGAGGCUUAACAUACAGGAGAGACAUUUAAAGUCGAAGAAGAAAACAAUGACAAUGUAAUUGCCAUAUAUGUGAUAUCAUCAAUUGAUUUUAAGUGUAAAAUAUGUUUAUAUGUGCAUAUUUUCAAAAAUUGAUUUCUUUAUGUUAGAUAUGUUUUAUUUUGCAGGGAGGAGAAAAAGUUUUAGUUGUAGGUCCAUGGUGUUCCUUGUCAUCUCAUUAUUUAUGUUUAUUUGAUAGUAAACCAGUACCAACAACAUUAAUACAGCCAGGUGUACUAAGGUGUUUUUCUCCAGGUAAGUCCUUACAGGAAUAAUAUGAUUAAACAAUUUGGCAUAAUUCAAGUAAUUGCUAGAUUUUUAUUAGAUUAUAUUUCAUGCAUGUUGUUUAUUUUAACAAAAAUGAUUUGUUUUAAAAAAGAUGUUCACUUCAGAGAAAUAAAUGUCAAGUUUUUUGUCAAAUACAACAAUUUAUAAACUUUCCAAGUUGAUAAAAAUGAAUUGAAUGGACAGAUUUAAGUUAUCAGUCACAAUUUUUAUAUUUCUUUCAUAAAUAAAGAGUCAUAGGGUAGAUAGCAAUGAGACAGCAACUCUCCCCUUUUAUUAAUCUUGAACUUAGAUUGACAAAAUAUAUUCAUUUUCUUUAUUAUACAUCAUUGAGUUGUCUCCCAUCUAUAUUGUUUUAAUAUCCCCAUUUACAGGAUUCAAAAAUCCUAUCUGACUCUGUACCACUAAUGGAUAUAUGGUUGUUCUCAGUCAGCAAGUUUGAGAGUUGAAAUUUCAUAUACAGCUGACAAAAGAAAUGUUUAAUAGUUAAUGAUUAUACAAGAAAUAUUUAUUUUCAGCUCACAAUGGCGGAGUAGCAUCAUUACAAGUCAGCUGUGAUGGUCAUGUGAUCUCUAACUCAGUACCAUUUAAAUAUGUGUCACAUGAUGAUAAAAAUAAACACAAAAAUAACUGGUUCUCUAUUUCUGGUAAGAAUUAUUUUCUAUAUGAUUAGAGUACACAUGAUUUCGUUGACCUUUUUUUACACAUUUCUACUCAUCAAAAAUGUCUAAUGUGUUGAUAUCUCAAAACUUUUUAAAUCUUCAAAGUGGGAGAUCUCAUUUCUGACAAAACUAUAUUUUGUGUUUGAAUGAAUUAUCAUUCAUCAUUUUAAAUUGACAAUGUUAGCUAUAAACAUUCCAUCAUAUUUAGAAAGGGACUUUUGUUAGGAGAUUUUUAUUUUAAACUUUUUUUUUAUUUCUGACUUUAGUAUAAACAUUCUAAUCACAAAUAAUUUUUUUCAAAUAUACAUAUUGUAUAUAAUAUAUUGUAUAUUAUCUAUUGUAAAUCAUAUAUAUUGUAAUUGUCACAAGAAGUUUUUUUUAUAAUAGAAUUUCCUUGUUUUAUAGUUGAUGAGCUUAAGCUGAUGUUGUUAGAUAGACUGUUUGUGAUUCAGGAAAAACUGAAGAAAACAAUGUCCCGUCAGCCUAUACAAAAGGUAUGUUGUUCAAAGGGCACCUGUCUAUUAUUGAAUACUGCUUGCUGACCUUGAAGUCUGGUGGAUUAUGCAAGAAAUGCAGAAAAGACUGUGGACCCAACAAAUAAAAAUUAAAAAAGACAACAUUAUCAAAUAAAAUCAAAAAAAAAAAAGCUGCACAUUUUUGCCCUCCAUGGUUAUUGUAUUUAUCUGAUUAUUGAUAUGAAAAAUGGUAUUCAAUAAGUUGUUUUCUUUUACAGCUGAAAGAAGAACUAAGAGCAGACCAUUUUGAAAAGAAGGUUGUUUUAUAUGUAAAAUCCUUAAUUUCCAAGCCUUGGGGCAACAUGACAAUUUUUCCGAAACAAGGAAAGCACAACAUGACAUUACUUCAUAUAGCAGCAGCUCUUGGGUAUCAGGCAUUGGUUCAUACACUCAUUGUAUGGAGGUAGGUAGUAACUAGAUGAUAUUUUAUAAACAUUUAUCAUACAUUAUACAGCAACAUCAAUAAAGACAAACAAUUAGAAAAAUUAGUACAUAGACUAUUUUCCCUCCACUUAUGUUAGUAUCAUAUGCCUUUGAAAUAAACUAUGUUUUCUCUCAUUAAACUUGCAUUUAUGUGUACACGAGUCGGCAAUGCCAGCUUUUCACUUGUUCUUUUUGCAAUUUAUUUAUUGAAAGAUCUGAGUUGCUGUUUAAAUGAAUUUCACAUUUCAGUAAAUUUUAUAAGUCUCAUGUUUAAAAGCAAAUCUCACUUCCAAAUUUCGCAUCCUGCAGUCAAGGCAGAUGGAAUAUUUGUACUCAUUACACCAUUCAUUAAAAGCUAUCAAUCCCAAAAUGUUUAACAAUUGGUUUUGUCACAUACAAUGUUAUUUUACUGAUGAUCUUACUUUGUGUUUGGCCAGUACAGGUUGUAUAAUUAGUAUAUGACAAGUGUGAUGUAUAAUUUCAGGACAGAUAACCCCUCCUGGGUACUGGAUUGUCAAGUAGAUUCUCAUGCAUUAGAUGAUAUGUCGUGUACACCAUUGGUAAGUAGUCACACAUUGAAUGAUAUGUCGUGUACACCAUUGGUAAGUAGUCACACAUUGAAUGAUAUGUCGUGUACACCAUUGGUAAGUAGUCACACAUUGAACAAUUAAUGUAGUUGAGGAGUUGCUGCCAUCAGUUGGAAAUUUGAAGGUAGCAAAAACAGUUUUACUGGCCAUAGAUAUUUGUGACAGUCAUAUCAUAAUUGACCACAGCAACUUUACAACUUCAGCUCUUUUAUUUAAAUACUAAUAUAUUGAAAAAAGAAAUUGUACAUUAUAGCUUGGAAAAAAAGAUAAAUUUAAGAUUAAAUAAAGUUCUGCAAAACUCCAUGUAUGAUUAUGGCGAGUAAAGAUCAGGGCAAAACAGGAAAUUCACAUAAAUGAAAACCAAAGGUUAUUUUGUUACUUUGUACAAUUCAGAUUUGAAACAACGAUUUUGGGGUAGUUUAUGUUUUGAUAUGUUUUAUAAAUGCUUUUGAAUGACACAACAAUUUUGCCUGUUUAUUAUCACUUUGUUUUGAUUUUAAUUUUCUUUUUCUCAUGUACAUGUGACAUAGUAUUACAUUCUAUGUUAUUGAUUUACUUUUUUCAGGUCUGGGCAUGUGCAAAAGGUUACAUAUCAACAGUGCAAUUCCUCUACCAUUGGAAUCCUGAUUCAAUACAUAUCAUGACCAAAGAUCAAUUGUCUCCCUUUGCAGUAGCUAAAAAAUUUGGUCACAUCUCAGUUGUCAAUGAGUUGACUUCCCUUACAGGAAAAUCUAGCAGCCUGUCUUCCCCUUCAAAACAAAUAGAUUCUUCCAAGGCUUUUAAUACCCCUGCUGAUAAAAUGGAAGAUAACAGUGUGUUCAAGUCACCAAAUUCUGUGUUGGGAAGUCUACAUAUAGACAUUCCAGGCCAGUAUGUUCAGUCAAUGAAAAGCAAUAGACCCAAACAUUCCCUACAAUCUAGUCGACGUAAACUUGCCAAACAUUUCUCCAUUGAUUGUACACCAGAAGACUUCAGUUAUACUCCACCUAGUCAGUACGAAAGGCCAGUACGGGAAACAAACUCUGAACCCAGACUCUGUUCUGUCUCCAGUGCUUUGACAAGUACGAAAAAUCCAAUGCUUUACAAUCCAGGGAGGGAUUUGACCUCACCAGACAUACUGAUUAAACCAGACGAGGACCACAAAACAGCAAUGGACCAUACUGAAACACCAUCAGUCCAUGUAACAGGAACUACUUGUGUAGAAAUGGAUACAGGUAAUUUUGCAUUGUGGUUUAUAUACCAGUAUAUUUGCAUCUUUACUAGCACGUGUGAAUUGAAAUUUACUAACUUUAGUUAUGUGAAACAAGACUUAAAGAAGCACAUUUGAUAUAUUUAAGCUUGGUUUGUGAACCAGAUAUACUUUUUAGCAUCAUGUUUUAUCCUAGAUAUUUAAUGAUGUAAUACACAUAGCAUAAUGAUACUUUUUAUUUGCAUGAGUUUUUAUAAGUAAUUAUUAUGCUAGUGCUAUACUGCAAGAAUUCAUUCUGCUGAUCAGUGUUUUAAAGAACAAAGUGACUUUAGUGAUGAGUAUAUCAUGUGUUUGCUAGAUAUAUAGAUAUAUAUAGAUAUAUAGAUAUUGUCAUCAUUGAAGCUAUUUUAACUAUUUUUGCCAUAAUCAAUAGACUUGCCUUGUUUUCAUGCUUUGGUGGCAUUCAUGUGAAGUGUCUUAUUACGAGCAAAACAUGGAAAGAAAUCCCUAACAGUAUAAAAUAGCAUUACUAGUUCUUUGAUUUUUAUAAUAAGAGAAAAUCAUUUAUGGCAGCGAAAUGUUACUGAUAGAAAAUAACAGCAAAUUGGUUACUGUCAGAUAAUAGCAGUAAAUCUGACAGUUAAUUGCAGCACAUAGGUCACAAACAUUUAAUAGCAGAAAAUAAGUCACUACAGUUUAUAGUAACACAUAAAUAGGUCAUUGACAGUUAUUGGCAGCAAAUAAGUUACUAACAGUUAAUAGCAUAACAUUGUCACUGACAGAUAGUAGCAAAAAGGUCAUUGAUUUUUAAUAGCGUAAAAUAGCCACUGACAAUUAAUUAUUUUAAAAGGUCACUGACAAGUCAUAGCAUAAAAGGUCACGUACUGUCAGCAGCAUAUAGGUCACUUAGGAGAUAACUGUAUUGUAUUUUAAGCUCAGACGGGACGGCAUCAAUUGGGGAUUUGAUGGUUGCAAAUUAAGUUUACUGGCAACAUGUUAGGGGAGACAGUAAACGGGUAUUUGCGACCAUCAAAACCCCAAUUGAUGCCGUGGGAGCUUAAAAUACAAUAUUGUUAUCUCAAUUCUAAUGAAACUGACAUAAAACAACGUUGAAACAUGUAUUUUAAAUCUGUCAAAUGCCGUCUGUGCUUGCGUGUACGUUCCAUAGCAUCAAUUGUCAAUCGAUGCCAUGUAAAUAAGUGAUGUUAUCCAUUCAAAAUGAACAUUACAAACAUUGUUGCAUUAGAAUGGCUUUUAAUGUAAUAAAAAUGCUCACUGACAGUUAAUUGCAGUAGAUAGGUCACAGACAGUUAAUAGCAUAAAAAAGAUCACUGACAUUUAUAAGAACAAAAGAGUACUGACUGAAGAAGAUAUCAGCAAAUUGGUCAUUGAUAGGUUUUAGCACUAAAUUAUCAAUGAAAAUGUAACAAAAAGGUUACUGACAGUACAUAACAGUGUAGAGAUCACUUACAAAAAAUAGUAGCAUAAAAAACAUCAAUAAAUGACACAUUAAAAGACACUGGCAGUAAACUCAGCAUAGAAACAAAAGGUCAACAAUAUCUAGUAGUAAAUAAGUGUCUGAUAGUAAAUAAAAUAAAAACAUAGAAAGAUUGACAGAAAAUCGUUAAAAUAGUGAAAAUUGAUUCUUCUGACAAUGCUUGAUUAACAGUUUGAAGUGUCUGCAUGCACUUGAUUUCAGAUUUAGAUGACAACAUGUCCGACGUAUCCUUCUCCAGUCAAGGGAGCCCGCUCAUUGAUGUGGAACGUUUGUCAUCUGAUGACGAGGGUCGUGUGACUAGAAUUAGAACAGAUAGAUUAUCUAUCAGUAAGAGAUAUAUAUAUCUGUUUGACAGGAUUUAUUUACUUAAUCUUAUUUACAGCCUUUAUUAUAUUGGAAUUUGACUUGAAGGACAAUUUUUAGAAUAUUUAACACCUCACUCUAAAAGUGAGACUAUAUUGCAUUUACCUUGUCUGUAGGCUGGUCUGUUUGUUAGCCCCAACAAAUAUUUCCAUAACAUUUGUCUCAGAUAUUACUGAAAACCUGAUUUUAUAUUUGGCCACCAACUUGCUUAGCAUGACAACAUGAGCAUUAUUAUUAAAAUUAUACUUAAAUUAUCUUUUUGCUAUUAACAUGACUUUAAAAAAAAACUUGCUUGAAGAAAUUUUAAUGUUUUUAGAUUUUUACGCUGUUUUCAGAGGUUUUCCUUACAAUCAAUUAAAUAGUGUUUGGUUAAUAUGCUUGAGAAGUUGUCAUAUUCUUUUGAAUGAUUUUGAAUCUUGUAUUAUGAUGUGUGGGAGUUAUUUACACUGUGUGAUUAACAAUCAUUAAUACCUUGCUAUACAUACUUAUAACUGCUUAUAAAGAGGUACUAUUGUAUGCUAUAUAGUGCUAUUUACUUUUUUACCAAGAAAUGCUUAUGAAAUAUGUAGGUUUUGAAUAUAAGAACUCUCGUUAUGAAAGAGAGAAUAAAAUCAAAAAUGAACAAAAACACAACAGACAAAACUCUGAAAGUUUCUCUUUCAGACUUUGUAACACAAUCACAGGACAUAGAACAUUUGUAAUGAAUAAAUUUAUUAAAAAAAAUAUUCUAAUAUGAAAAAAGAUGUAGGGUUAAUGUCAAUCAGACAGGAACUUAACAGACCAAAGAAUGAAGAUAUAAACGACUAUAGGGCAUUGUAUGGCUUUCAACAAAGAGCAAAACCAUAACUAUGCCUUGGUUAAGCAUGCUACGCAAUAUUGACAAGUAGUGAAUAAUUUCAACAGAGACAACCAACUGAUUUAAACCUACCAGAACAAACAUCAAUAAUUAUUAAGUUAACAAUAGACUGUUAUUUAUUAAAAUUUUAUUAUCUUUACGAAAGAUCUGAGGGAGAGAAGAUGAUUUCUUAUUUUCCUCACAUGAAAACAAAUUCCAAUUAAACUGCUCUAUAUAAAAUACAUCUGAUUUAUAUUUCCUGUAAAUGUAAUAAAUUUCAAUAAUUUAAUGUAUAAAAGUAAUACCCUUGAAAAAUAGUAAUUUUUUUUUAUCAUGAUGGUUUGAGUUAUCUUUUUUUCAAACUGAAUUUAUGAUUUCCCUAUAGGUGGCGACAGCAGUGAGGAUGCUAAGAGACAAAUGGUUAACCUAGCUCAACAAAUCAUAGCCGCCAUGCCAAUGAGGAUCAAACUGUCUCCCAGUCGCGUUGAUGAUGCUGCGGAGUUUGCUGCCCGUGAGAGGAGCAGUUCGUACAGCUCCAUACCAUCACAGCCAUCUCCCCAUGCCUCAUCAUAUGAAGAGGAUUCUGGCAUAUCUACUCCAAUGGGUGACGGAUUUGCUUUUGAUGAGUACAGGUAUAUUGUGAAAGCAGAAAUUGUUGUUGCUUUCAGUCUUUACUACAAUAAGCUUGAACAUACACGCUAGAUAGACAUGUGGUUGUGGUUGAUAAGAUUUCACAAGUGCCUUGAAAAGUCUAUAAUGCUCCACUAAUUAAUAAACCUCUGCGCAACUAUGAAUACACCUAUUUUGAAGAUAGUGAUUUUUUAUGGAAUGAAAACCUAAACAAAAAAUUUAACCUGUAAAAAUAAUCCUCUUGCAAUCAAUGUUAUAGACAAAAAAAACAAAAAUUUUAACCCUAAAAAAUUUUGUUUUUACAAUAUGGUAUUGUUGUAUAAAAAUACUAACCUGACAAUUAUUUUAUUGACAUUAUAUAUUUUUCAGAUAUUCUGACCUUGGUACACCAGCUUCUUCUCUCAAUAGUCCCGAGUCUACCUGUAUUCCUAGUCCCUACAGUCCAUACGAUUUCAAGCUAGAUUCUCCACCUCCUACCACAGAAGAGUUCACAGAAUACUUCAAUGCUCCGGCUACAUUCAUGGAGAAAGAUUUCUCACUUCUUACAUUAUCAGGUAAGUUAUUAAAAAUGCUGUACAUUAUUGUUUCAGUUAAGGCGAAGUGUACGUAAUUGCACGCCUCUAGCGGAAUACGGGAUUAAAAACGUUCGUCGUUAGUUACGCAAGUUAUCUCCCUUACUCCAAGAAAGGACACACUAAAGAGAAACUACUUUCUGCAGUCUAUAAUGAAUCCAACAAGUACGCCUGUGCUGUCUUAAACCUCAUAGAAAUUAUCUCAAUAACUCAAAUUAGAAAUCACAGCAUUCUGUACGUUGUUCUGUGUGCAGCCUGACUUAAAAACACUGUUGUUUUUUUUUGUUUUGUUUUUUUUAGACGCGUAGGAGAAGGCAUUUCGUGUUUAUGAAAUUAACAGAAAGAAAAAACGCCUCACAACAACAUUAUAAACAAAUAAACAAAUAAACAUGUAACAAUUUUUCUUCUAUUGAUAUCAAAUUAAUUAAAAUGAAACCUGGUGAAUUGACCCAACAAUAUCGUUUUAAAAAGCCGUAGUCUUGAAUGAAAAACACAGUACUCAACAUAAAGUUUUAUAAUAGGUUACAAAUAAUUAAUGAAAGGCGUGUGAAUUUAAUUGUUUUAUUAAAAGACGUUGAAAUGUUUCGUAUUUGUGCAAUUGAAAAUGUUAAGGACAUAAUUUAUAUUCAUAUAAGAUAUCAGACUAUACCAAGAGAAUAAUUUGAUCACUAGUGCAACACUUACAAGUCGGAAGAACAAAGACGGAAAACAAACAAAACAUAAACAAAUUAGGCCCCAAAAAUUUAUCAGUAACUUAAAAGUUGUCUAAUUCUAACAUUUAUCUUAAAAUAAGUAAAAAUUGUGUCAUUCAACUCUCCAGUUUUCAACUUUUUUCUACAUGUGCAGAAAAUAGGUGUCUUCUAUUCCGUCCGCAAUUUUAUGGAAACUAAAAUCUAAAUUUAGAACCAUAUUGAAAUUGAAAGUACACAUGUAAAAUAAAAUAUAACAUGUCAUUUCUUCUUUCACAAAUUCCAAUUUCAAAGAGAUAUAUAGCGAAAUCUGUUUUCUUUUAUUGUGGGCUGUGUGCAUCAUUCAAAAUUAGAGAAUGUAAGUAUCAAGUCUCAAUUCAAGAUUAUGAAUGAAAAGAAUAUAGAAUACGGGGGGGGGGAUAGACCUUUAUCGGAACUCCGGGAUCGGUUGAAUUUAAGCUCGGAUUUCGGGAUUGACCCUUUCGGGAUCAGAUUCUAUUUCCGAAUUUCGGGUAGUCGGGAUUUAAUUUUUUUUCUAAUUCGGAACAUUUUGUUUCCGCGAAUUUCGAACAGCUAGAAAUAUAUUCCCCAGUUUCAAUUUGAGUAACUGAAUAAUUCAAGCCCUUUCCAUGUCCGAUUUUCUCCACACGAGAAAUGUAGCAUUCGUACAUCAGCUGAAUAAUACGACUGAAUUAUUCGGGUUACAAUUUGUGUAAAUCCCGAAUGCACAUAAAAGUAAAGGUCCAGCCUGACUUUCGGAAAGGACUUUUGUAGAUUUCAGAUUAAUUUCCAGAAAUAAAAAUCAUACAAAAAUGUUUCACGCAAAUAUUCGUCUUCAGACGUGUAAAGUUAUACAACGGUUACUAGCCGUCUGGAUUGUAAUAAAAAGAAGCGCAUGAAUGCAUAAAAUAUAUAAUGUCGUGGCUCGGGGAUGUGUUGAAUUGUAGAGAUGCGUAUGCGGCACAUAGAUAAGAUAUGUACUAAGAAUUACCACACAACUUAAAAUUUACUUAAAUAUUGAUUUGUUAUCCUGUGCCAGACAGAUGGCUGAUAUUCUGAGAAGAGACCUUGAUGAAAUGAAGAUUUAUGGGAACAGAGAUUUUGAAAACAUGUCGCAGUGUUUAGAUUUUAACAAAAAUAAGGCAACAAGGUCGAAAUAGUUCUAGUUCAUAAUGAAGAAAAUGUCCAACCGUUUUCUAGCUUGGCGAUCUCCGCACGCACCCGAAUAUAAUAGACAAACACAAUACAAUAGUACGCAAAACGUAAGAUAAAGAACUAAAGACCGAGCAACACGAACUCUCAACAAAACGGUAUAUAUUUCAUACAAGUAUAGAACUAUAUGAAGCGUCGUAACUGUUGCGGCGACGUCAAUAACGUUGUCGUUGUUUUUUUGUUUUUUUUCACUCAAGAUUCAACUUUAACAGAGUAUAGCUUGAAAAGUAGCACGGUUGCUAAGGACUUUCUUUGCACCAAUCGAUUCCUCAGACAUUUUAGAAUCGUCUUAUAAUUUAAAAAAAAAAUCGAUUGUCAAAUAUAAUAGAAAAUCUUGGAAAUGUAACAAUUCUGCCGAAUUCACGAUUUUCCCUAUAUAUCCUUUGUAAUUUUUGGUGUAUGAUGCUGUUAACUUCAACAGCUCGUAUCUCAAAAACGAAAACGGUUACCCCCAUUUUUUAUUUUAUUUUCCGAAUUAUUUUUACAAGCAGAAUCUACAUGUAAAAUUUUUAAAAAAUCCAUUGUGUAGUUUAAUUACGUACACUUCGCCUUAAAUUGGCUAGACCUUAAAAGGCCAAAAUAUAGCAUUUUAAAAAUUUUUUGAAAAUGUAAACUUUUUAGUGGAAAGUAUAGUAAUGUUGUUACACAAAUGUGGGCUCUUUUUGAUAAACCUUGCACAUGCAUCACAGACUAGCAUAGUUAAUUCAUGCAAAAUUACUGAAAUUUCACGUUUUUAGCAUUUGUACUUAAUUUUCUAACUUUUUUUUGUCUAAAAUAGAAGUGGCCGCACUUGUGUUCAGUAUUGAUAUUCAAAUAUAUGUUGUAUUUGAUGAUACUUGUAAUACAUAACAUACAUAAAGGUUGACACUGAACACAAAUGUGACCACUUUUUGUUUUAGACAAAAACUAUCUAAAAUGUUUUAUGGCAUGUUUGAAAGAUUCUUCAUACUUAAGCUUGAAUUUGAGUGUCUUUAUUAACCAAAACAGUUUAAAUCUUUUAUAUAAACUAAUAGAAUCGACUGAAGUAGACACUUAGGUGUUUAAAAAAUGUCAAAAAUCUUUCAUCAGAUGUACUUAAAAUUUUAGGCAAAAAUUAGCCCUUACCAGACCUCCUUUUUAAUUCUGUAUUGUUUGAUUGCUGACGUUGAUGUUUACCAAGACUCAUUUCUUUCAUGUAGAACCUAUUUCUUUUAUAGAUCAAGAACAACGCAAACUCUAUGAGGCAGCUAAAUGCAUACAAAAAACUUACAGAAAAUUCCGUAACAAACAACAAAUGACUCAACAUUAAUCAGAACAGAAAGUUAGUUCUUAUACAGAAAUAUUACAGGCGAUAUACAGUCAGUUCAGUUUUCUUAUACAGAAAUAUUACAGGUUAGGGAUAUAAACGGUCAGUUAGUGGUCAGUUAGUUCUUAUACAGAAAUAUUACAGGCGAUAUAAACAGGUUAGUUAGUUCUCUAUGCAUUGAAAUAUAUAAAGUAAUACAGAGGAUAAAAAGAUACAGCCCUUGAAUGGUGUACAAGAACUACUAUUUCCUGAUUUAAUUGUAAAAACAUGAUCUUUUAAUUUUGUAGUAUGCGUAUUAUAAGAAAAUGACCCAGGCAGCUGUAUUGAUACAAAGUCAGUUUAGAAGUUAUUAUGCUCAGAAACGGUUCAAGAAGAGUCGUGACGCAGCUGUUGUUAUCCAAAAUCAAUACAGGACGUAUAAAGAACAUGAACGUCUAAAGAAGGGAGGCAACAAAUCUGUCAUCAUACAACAAAGAUACAGGUUACUAUGAUUGCAAGAUAAGAUAAAUAAAUUCUUGAUAAAUAAUAAAUUUUUUCAAUAUGAAUAAAUAGAGAUAAGUAUAUAUAAGUCAAAGAGACAGGAACCUUAUUACAUUAAAAUUAAUAGAUAAAACCAGGCAAAGGGGGACUGCUUAUUUUGUCCUCCAACCUUUAAGCUUGUAGGCAAUUUGUUUGUACUCCGAUGAUUUACUCAAAUAAUUAUGAAUACUUAUUCAUAAAGAGAUUUUAACAUUUGUGUUAGAAAUGAAGUAGUUUUAAAAGACGCUAAAGCAUGGUCAAAUAUGACCCAGUGAAAUACAGAGUAUUCAUAAAAGUAACAAUGCGAAAUAUAAAGUUGUCUGUAACCAAAGUCUUAUAUAGGACUAUUUCUGCAAAUUGUUUUUCAGAAUUUUAGAGUCUCCCAUAAUUUAUUUUUGAUAAAUCACAGGUGCAAGUUAACAAAUGGAAAUUCAUACUAAUGAGUUAAAAAAAAACAAAAGAUAUUGCCAUGGCAAACAAUGAAAAAUAACAAAAGGAGGAACAACAGUAUACAAAACACAACAUAUAAAACUUAAAACUAAGUUACAACAAACCCAACAAAAAACGGGCAGAUCUAAUGAGCUGCCAAACGGUAAGCAGAUCCUGUUUUAUAUGUGGUACAUUUGUGAUAGAUAUUCAACAUCAAUUCUGUUAAUUCAAUACAUUUUAAAAUGUUCAGUUCCUUGUUUUUUUCACAGGAGCCAUUACCAGAGGAUACCUAAGCAUGUAGGACGUAAUUCUGACGGACAGAUAGUACAGAUUGUCCCAGAGGGCCCUGACAGGUAACAAAUAUUUAUAAAGACAAACCUGAAUAUUAUUUCACAAAAACAUAUUCAUAAAACAGCAUGCACCGAAACUUUUCUGAAACCUUGCCAGUUCGGCUUAUGUUUGUCCAUACUAGUUGUAUUCAGUUUAUAACUAGCUUGAACUAAUUUUUACUUAACUACAGUGAUUAACAAUAAGAAAAAAAAAAAGGAAACUUAGAAUGUAUGUUUUUAGUUUGACUGUUUAAUAUGGCAUGUAUCUGUAACCUAAUUACAUGAAUUGUAGGACAAUAAGCAAUAUUCUGAUAUAGAACAUAACCGAAAACUAACAUUUGCUUUUAUUUCACAAAAUCUUUGAAUUGAGUAAUAAAUUUGUAUUGAAGGUUUGUUUAUCAUCUAGAUACGGUUUAGUCAUUUGAUACUGUGCUUAAUGAUUUACAAGAAUACAUUAACUGCUUGAAGGCUUACAGAUUUAACAAUAAAUGCAUGUUUAGGAUCUGACAUUAAUUUACAUUCUUUUAUUUUUAAAAGACCGUUCCAUUUAGAAAUAUAUAGGUUCCCAGGGAAGGCACUUUAAAAUAAGUGACCUAUAAAGGCAAAUUUUAAUUUCCUAUCAUUUUCUUCGUUCUUGACAGUCACAGCACAGAUGACUUUUAAAGUGCCUUCCCUGGGUCCUAUGUAUGUUUUUAUGGAAUAUACUUUAUUAAAAUAACAUUCAUUGGAAAGUUAGUUGACCUCCACGGUGAAUGUUUUUCAUGUUUGAAUUUGCCUCUUAAUUUCAAAAUUGAUGAAGUAUUAUCAUUCGGUUAUUUACAUUUAUUCUAAAAAAUACAAAAAAAUCUAGCUCAUGGUUAUAUCUGCAUGAUUCACAUCAUAAUGUCCAAACAAGACUAUUUGUAUAAAAAACUGUUAGAUGCUGCAUUACUAAUACAAUACAUUUAACUAAUACCUAAAGAGAGUGGAAAAUUGUCCAUGUUAGGAGGGUAUGUAAAUUUGAUGUCCAGUGUUGUUAUCAUCAUUAUGACGUACGUCUUUGUUGUUGUCACAGUAGAGUAGAUUUUAACAUCCAAUAUAUUUUUAAUAUUCUCCAAAAUAUUAUGAAAAAUACACUGGAAAUAUUUUGUUAUCAUAAUAUUUUUUUCAAAUAUAAUGUUUUGAAUUGGGCCACAUGUAUGAUUCAAAUGGAUUUUUGACUCCUUCACUUGAGGUUGAUGAGUUCAUAUAAUGGAGGUAUUCAUAAGUCGGGUCAACUUAUCUCAUGGGUAGAUUCCCCUUUAAUGGGAAAAUUAGGUCAGUCUAAUUGGAAGAAGUUUAUUGCAAUGUUAAUAAAUGCCAAAAAGGACAGCUGAAGCCUCCAUCCAUUGCAGGAAUUUCUUGCUGUUUUGAAGACCCUUUUGUGGCUUGGGGCUGCUUUCUGUCCUUUGGUCGGGUUUAUGUCUCUUUGACACAUUCCCAAUUUCCAUUCUCAGUUUUUUGAAGUAUAAUAAAUACACAUGUUCAUGAUGUUAGCAAACAUAAAAUUGCAGUACUGGAAAGAUUUUCUUCAUUGUUGCAGUUAGAAAUUGGAGGUAUUCUCACACUGUUUUAUUUUAUACUUGAACAUAUCAGUAUAUAUUUUUUAUACACAAUAUACUCUUUAUAUUGGUGAAAAUUACAGUAUCUCUUUCAUUUAGUAUGUGUAUCUAUAUUUGUGUGUGUUUGUGUGUGUUAUGUUGCAUGUUUGUGAAAUGUUGUUGUUUUAUUUUCAGAAUUAUAUAAUGUGAUUUGGAGGUACUAAAUAUCUAUUCCACCUUUUUAUCUAUAUAUAGCUUGUGUGCUUACUUUUCUUAUUCAGUACAGUUAUCAUGUCUGUCUGUUCAUUAUAUAUUAUUACUGGGCGUCUUACUGUGCAAAACUGUUAUGGGUAGUUAGAAGUCUUUAAACACCCCCUAGUGGUAGUUAGAAGUCUUUAAACACCCCCUAGUGGUAGUUAGAAGUCUUUAAACACCCCCUAGUGGUAGUUAGAAGUCUUUAAACAUCCCCUAGUGGUAGUUAUAUGGUCUAGUUUGCAGGCUUUGUAAAAAAAAAAUCAAGAAAUCAAAUAUCCACAAUAUUGGUGCCAAGAAUAAUCAAUGAGUCUACAGUAUAUAAUGGAAUGACAGGAUUUAUGAUAAACUGUUCUGAAUAAGAAGUUCCAUUUAAAUUAUAUUAAUAUAAAGCUUUCUAUAGAUUCUGCCUACAAGUCACUAGUGUGUUUUUUGCUGUUUUUUCAUCAUGUGUGCUGUCACUUUGAGAAAAAUACAAGCAGUCACAGCUUUAGUAUAAUACUUACCGAUAUUUUUGUGAGAAAAAACCAAACUUAUUUGAGUAAACCUGGAUUGAGACCUGUCCUAUUUUCUUAGUCCUGCUUUGUAUGUUGCAUUAAGAUUUUAUUUCAUGAUAUCAAGGGAGACUACUCCUAUUGUAUCGGUACAACAUUACCCUAGCUCAAGCUUUAUUAUUUCCAUGAUUUUAGUUUUAAAAUUAAUAUAAACUUGUUCGCAAAUACAUUAGAUUUUAAAAAAUAUACUUCUUUAUUAUUAGCUCACCUGACCUGAAAGGUCAAGUGAGCUUUUCUCCUCACUUGGCGUCCGUCAUCCAGCGUCCUGCGUCUGUCGUCUGUAAACUUUUACAAAAAUCUUCUACUGGACCAAAUUUAACCAAACUUAGCCACAAUCGUCCUUGGGAUAUCUAGUUUAAAAAAUGUGUUCGAUGACUUGGCCAUCCAACCAAGAAGGCCACCAUGGCUAAAAAUAGAACACAGGGAUAAAAUGUAUACUUUGGCUUAUAUCUUUGAAACCAAAGCAUUUAGAGCAAAUCUGACAGGAGUAAAAUUGUUGAUCAGGUCAAGAUCUAUCUGCCCUGAAAUUCUCAGACAAAUUAGACAACCUGUUGUUGGGUUGCUGCCCCUGAAUUGGUAAUUUUAAGGAAAUUUUGCAGUUUUUGGUUAUUAUCUUGAAUACUAUUAUAGAUGGAGAUAAACUGUAAACAGCAAUAAUGUUCAGCAAAGUAAGACCUACAAAUAAGUCAACAUGACCAAAAUUGUCAGUCAACCCUUUAAGGUGUUAUUGCCCUUUAUAGUCAAUUUUAAUAACUUUUCGUCAUUUUUGUAACUUUUCUAAAACUAUGGGCCAAAUUUAACCAAACUUGGCCACAAUCAUUACUAGGGUAUCGUGUUAAUGACCCGCCUACCAACCAGAUGGCUGACAUCAGUAAAUACAGUAACAGGUGAGCGACACAGGCUCUUGAGAGCCUCUAGUUUCAACAUAGCAUGUAUCAUUAAAGAAAAUAUGUCCAUAACAAAUCCAGGACUGUUUUGCUUCACUUCCCUCAGUUAAUUAUCAAAAAGUCCAGGAAUAAUUAAUUUUGUUAAUUAAUCUGCACUAACGAAGUGACUUUUGAACAGGUAAAUUUAGUGCACUCAUAAUGUGUUUUGUAUUUCAAACUUGGAUUUUUUGGGCAAAUGUAGGAUUAAUUCACUCAAACGUAAUGUGUGGUGGAUAACAACACAGAGAUGUCAGUAUAUAUGCAGGAAAUUGCCAGAGUAUGUCUAUGACGUUUUUUUACCCCAUCAGUAGGUCUGACAAGUUAUACAAAUUUUGAUACACAACACUUUAAAUUUGUCAAGGAGUAAAGUGGCAUAAUCUAUAUAUGCAAUACUAGAUGUCAGAUAUAUAAACUUAGUGUAAAAUGUGAAUAUAAAACUAUAUGUUAUACUAGUUAGCUCUUAUUGAAUAUAGAAUUUAAUUAGAUUACCAAAAUUUUUCUUUUCAGGUAAUAUAGGAUAUUGUUUUUUGAAUAAUGUAUUUUUAUUAAAUUGUGUGAAUUUGCUUGUCAUCUUUUGAAGAUAACCACAUAGGUCAAAUCAUAAAUUAUUUAAAGUAAAACUUGUGAGUAAAGGGGAGUUGUAACAGCAUUGAUGAUUAAUUAUUAAAAUUGAUAUAUUGUUUCAUUAUUUUUUUUUAGUUCCUUACAUAUUUUUCACUUUCUUGUGUUCAUUCUUUAUUAAGAAACUUUUUUUUUAUCGUUUCAGCACACAAGCAGACCAAAGCAACUCACCAGACAACAUAUUACAGCUAACAGACGAUAGCAUAACAGCUCCAUCUAGUGAGGAAAAAUCAAGGGAGAGUAGUAAUCAUUAA